AGAGAAUUAAUGAGUUGUGGAAAAGAAUGUAAAAGGAAAGAUCCGUAGGGAUGUACUAAGUAACACUGAUCCGCCAUUGAUGAAAAAGGAAAAGGCAAAAAGGAAAGAGAUUGAACAUUGAAGAAAUCAGUGAUGGUUAAGAUCGGAAGAAGAUCUUUCUCUCUCACACGCAAUCCCAAAAAGAAAGUGAAGAAGAAAAAAAGGCUUCAAAUGGAAUAAUAAUAAUAAUAAUCACAAGCAAAAGUACAAACUCCAAAGCAAAGCAGAUCCUCCAGUUUAAUUCAAGAAAAAUCGGAUUCUGUAUAAUAUCAGUCAAUCGGAUUGGAUAUCGACGAUUAUCAUCAUCAACAUAUAUAUAUAUAUAUAUAUAUAUAUAUAUAUAUAUAUAUAUAUAUAUAUAUAUAUAUUUAUAUAUAUAAUAUCGAAUCCCUAAAUCUCCUAAUUUAUUUCAAUUUCAAACACAGAAGAAAUGAAAUCGGAUUUGACGGUUCACGCAAAUAGAUAAUUUUCUUUUUUGUCUUUGAUUCGAUUCAGAAAUUAGAAUCAACAAUCACCUGCUAAUGCUACGCUCUGCUGCCGAUGAAUCGUUCUUCGGAUUCCGUGCUGCUGCCAUUGGCCAUUGGGCGGCUUUCCUUUUUCGCUGCCGCCAUUUUUGCCCUACGCUUUCCUUUUUCUCUCUCUCGUCUACUCAGAAAAUACAACCCUUCGUUUACAUUUUAAUUUAUGUGAAAAUAUUUCAAUUUUUAAAAUAUUUAUAAAUAUAACCGAAUAUUAAAAUAGUCUGAUUAUUUUUAUAUAUUUGAAAAUAACUUUCUAUUUAUUAUCCUAUUUUCUUUUUACAAUUACCCAUUUGUGGUUUUAGUCUAUUUGUUCAUAAAGAAAAUAAGAGAAAGAUAUAUUUUUGGCCAUUGAUGUUUGAACUUAAUAACCAUUUUGUGUAUGAAGUUUAAAAACGAACACUAUCAAUGUUAAAUGGCCUAUAAAAUUAGUUAUUAGAAUAUUAAUUGACUAAUAGAAAAAUGACAUGACAUUGAUUGAAUUUUAGUAUAAUAAUUACUAUAUGGAGACAAUGUGAAUUAUGACCAAAACGCUUCAAUAAAAAACAUGUUAAGAUUUGAGAUUGGUGACUAAAUUUAAAUACCAUUUAACUUAUAUUAUAUUUAUUUUAAAUUUAUCCAUUUAUUACAAUCAAAUUCAAAAUUUUAUAUUCAAUAUAUAUAUAUUUAUUUAUUUUAGUUUAAUAUAAUCUAAAUGUUUAGUUGUUUGAAUUGAGUGGAGCUCGUCCUUCAACUUUAACUAAAUCUAGUUCUAAGCAUCAAUACAUAUGUUCGAGUCUAUCUAUGGUUGAAGAGGGAAAAAUGAUUGGAAGUGGUACUAAAUUAUUUUCUUGGGGUGUAACUUUUGAAGAAUGCAAGUGCACGCCCAAUUAUUUUGUUGAAAGUUGACAUUGCUAUUAAUUUCACAACAAAACAAGCUUGCAAGGAAAGAUUGAAAUAAUUACAACCUAUUACAAUCAAUGUUAUUGUAUAGGUAAAUAAAACUCUCUUUUUUCAAAAGAAUUCAAAAUUUCAAAAUAUAACUCUUAUUUCCUCUAUACAUUCAAACUUGUAUACCUAAAUUCAAUGAACUUGGCUAAUAUUUUCUUUAAAAUAAAAUUACUCACACGGUUACCGUUUCGAUUGUAUUCUCCCUAUCAUUCAUUGUGAGUAGUUGAGAGAGUAGUGUUUGUUGGAUGUUUCAUUUGAGAAACACAAAAACAAACGUUUGAAAUGUCCAAGCUUUUGUCGAUAACAUUGAAUUUUUUUUUACGAAUAAGACCUUGUGUUUAGACUUAUCGUUUAGACCAUAUUUCUUCCCUUAUGCGUGAUUUGAAGCUUACCUCCUCUACAUAUCAAUGUUGCUAUGUUUAGUGGUUCAAUAAUUCGUUAGUUCAAUGUUUUUAUUCUAUAUUGCUAAGAAACAAAAAGGAAUUGUAAAAAAUAGAAGAAUUGACAAGUUAUUUACAUCUCAUAUCAAAAAUUUAAUUCAAAUCCAAAAUAGAUAACCAAAAUUUUAACCAAAGUCCAAAGUAUCAAUUUUUCUUUCUAUAGGAUGUAAAUACUUUUACAUUUUCUUCUAUUUGACAUGCUUAUAUAAGUGAGAUUGAUACACAUUAGUAAGGCUAUUAAUUUCUAUUAUUAAUAAAAAUGUUUUGCUAUUUUAAAAAAAUGUUAACCUAACAUAUGGAUAUUAAUGAAUAUUUUAAAAAAAAUAAUAAAUAAAUAAAUGAUUUGAAUAAAAGUUUGAUAGUUUAGAUUUAUUAAGAUUUAGGGAAUGGUGCAAAAGGGAAAAAGAAGUUGAAAUGUAAUGAAUAGUAGUGGUCAACGGUGUGCGGCAGUUUGUAAAGUCAGUGGGCACAGCGCCUCCAAAACAAACACAAUGGCAUAUACUCAUAGAUCGUACUCUCAAUCUGCACACUUCUAUUACUCUCUCUCUCUCUCUUUCUCUUUCUUUUGUUUUGACCUAUCAUGGCGUCAAUUGACAAGUGGCCCUAUUCUUUAUCUGCGCUGGGAUUUCGAUUCUCUCUCUCAAAUCACAUUAAACAAACAAACCCCCUCUUCUCCGAUCUCACUGAAAAUUUUGGAUCCUCAGAAUCUCUGCUUUUACUCCUCCCCAUUAAUUAAACCAACCCAUUUUCCCCACUUAUAAGAUGACCCCAUUUUCCCUCUUCUUCCAUAGCCAACCUUUUUUCUCUUCUCUCUCUCUCUCUCUCUCUCUCUCUCUCUCUCUCUUUUCUCCCCAUGGCGACGGUUCCUGAUCUCUUCCGCCGCAACGGACUUGUUGGGUUUUCCGACGAGUCGAAACAGAGGAGUUCCGGUUCCACUCAGCUUCAUGUUCUUGCUGUUGAUGAUAGUUUUGUUGAUCGGAAGGUUAUUGAGCGGUUGUUGAAGAGUUCGUCAUGUGAAGGUAUAGAUUGUUGUCGAUGAUUGUUUUUGUUUAAUGCGUUGAUUUUCGAUGGGGUUUGUUUGAAUUGGAUUUGGUUUUUUUUGUUCUUUUUCUUUUGCAGUGACUGUUGUUGAGAGUGGGAGAAGUGCUCUUCAGUAUUUGGGUUUGGAUGGGGAAACUAACUCUGUUCAGUUUAGUAGUGUAAGAAAAUUUUCCCUUCAUUUUAGUAAUUGUUUGUUUAAGUCGAAAUGUUGUUUGAUCUUGAAUUGAUGAUUAGUUGUUGGGUUUUGUGUUGAUUUAUUGCUUUCAGGCUUUGAAGGUGAAUCUCAUUAUUACAGAUUACUCCAUGCCUGAAAUGACAGGAUAUGAACUGCUCAAGAAGAUCAAGGUUGGUUUCUUGGUUGAUUGGCUUGUUUUUUGUUCUUCUCACUCUUUCUAAAAUAAAUUGGUUCUUAGUUUUUGAAAGUUUCGUCCACUUCUAGAUUUGUUGCUUUGUUACCCACUUGUUACCCAAGUUGAAGGAAAAAAAACAAGCCAAAGUUUUGUUCUUCCAAUUUGGCUAAGAAUGAACUCUGUUAGUAAACCAUUGUAUGAAAAUUGAGAGAUACUGCACUUCGUAUGUUAUAUCAAUGGCUGAAAGAGGAUUGUUAUGAACAGGAAUCAUCAGCUUUCAGGGAGAUUCCUGUUGUGAUAAUGUCAUCAGAGAAUAUUAUGGCUCGUAUCGACAGGUAUAGAUACAUUCUCCCUUCUCUCUUGUUCUUGGAUUUACUUUUUCAUGGUUAACUUUAAAGCUGAAGAAUUGGGGUUUCAUUUUUCUUAUAGUUGUUUAAAGGAAGGGGCUGAAGAAUUCAUAGUAAAGCCAGUGAAACUGUCUGAUGUGAAACGAUUGAAAGAUUUCAUUAUGGAAGGAGAAAAUGGAGGGAAGAAAAUUGAUCUUAAGAGGAAACUCCAUCUCAAUCAUGAUCACAACCCAUUGUCUCCAGCCUCUCCAACGCCGUCGAUGACAGCGUUCGACCAAUGCCAAGGAUUCAAGCAACGAUCACCACCGUCGUUACGACCGUCCUCGAUCAUACAUUCAUCAAAGAAACCUAGGUUCCUCAAUGGCAACUAAUUCACAUGAUGGAAUUCAAGUGGUAAAAGCUCUUUGUUCUUUUUGUAUAAAAGUUGAUUGGUGUUGUUGGAAACUCAAAAUCCCACAUUUGCUGUUUCUCUUUUUCUUUUUUGGUUCAUUGCUGUUUCAAAGGUCUCAGAGAAGUAAAAGAAAAAAAAAGUACAUUGAAGUGUCAAUGAAAACACAAUAGACAAGUUUCGUAGCUCUGCUUGGUUGUUUGCUUUCUAGCUAUGUUUUGAUCUUAUUGCUUGUGGCUAUGCCACGAGGAGAGAUUCGAACGUUCACAGUAAUUAAACUCGACUCUUACAUUGUACAGUGGAUCGGGUCACAAACUUUCGAUUCAUUGAAACUUGUUGAUUUUGGAUUUAUUAUUUGUACCUACAAAAUCUUUUGUUCAUAAUAUAGAUUGUAAUACAACUAUGAGGGAUUGGGAAGUUAUUUGGAAAUCAAUCAUGAGAAUAAUUGACAUGGAUUAUUGGGGAGAAAUGUGUUGGAGUAAUGAUGGAAUUAUGUGGUUAUCAUUUUGAAAUCAGUUGCAACCAAUUGUUAAUUAUUUGAUUAAUUUAUUCCUUAUGAGAAUAAUGCAAAUGGAUAAUGGAAGAAAACUGUGGUAGUAUUAAUGGAAUAUAUAUUGAAAUUCAUCAUAUAUUUGGGUCAUAUUCAAUGUGAAAUUGGGAUAAACAUAUUGAAACAACCAUUAAAACAAUAAGUAAAAUCGAUGAGAUAGCAUCUAUGUCUAGGGUCUUUGACUUGAGAUCACCGGCUGCAAAAUGUUCAAAUACAUGAGUAAAGAUCCAACUACAAAUCUUCACUAAAAAGGCAAGAGAUUAGAGAUUUUGUUCAUAUAAAAUGCACCAAAAUGUCCAAAUACACGAGUAAAAAUCCGACUACAAAAUUCACUAAAAAGGAAAAAAUAUUUUUCAAAAGGAAACCAAAUAAAAUCUUUAUCCCAAUUGAUUAUUCUUCAAAAAAAUUCUUUUUGACUGUCAACCAAAAAAGUCAAAGCUGAACAAAACAAAAUUUCCGCAUCCAUGUGGCUUCUAACAAAGGGAAACAAAAGUGAUCUCAAGUUUCAAAAAAAAAAAUUCUUCUUUUUGUUAGUGUUGUACUAUAACAACAUUGUAAUGUAUAAAAGUCAAAUAAUAUCUAAGCUAGCGAUAUACUUUUCGAAAUCAUAUUAGGUACUCCCUGUUUGAUUGUAUGUUAAAUGCUUUCAACUAGCCCAAGCAAACAAGUUGAUGCAGCAAGUGAAGUUCGCCUUUCUUUUUUAGAUGCCCUCUUUAUGAUAUUUUGCAUUAGAACAUGUUGUCAACUCAAAUGGAUUGCAAAUGCACUAACUAAACACUUUAACCAAAUCUUUACUUGACUAAUACAUACAUUCUUCAUGGAUCCCCCACUUCUCAACCAACUGUCAUCCUAAAAUCUACAUGAAUGUGGAGAGUUUGAACAUUUAAACUGCAAUUCUAGUUGGAUGAACAUGUAGUCCAACUUUAUAAAUAGCAAUGUUAUCCUGGCAAAUUGCAAAGAAUCAAUUGAUUCCUAGGUUUCUUUGGAAAAGUAAUGAAAGAGAUGGAAAACAGAAAUGGUGCACAAGAAGCUUCCAAGGGAAAGGCCAACCCUGGAAAAGCUACGAUUUUGGCUCUUGGGAAAGCAUUCCCUCCUCAACUUGUCCUUCAAGACUACCUAGUCGACGGCUAUUUCAAGGACACAAGCUGCGAUGAUAUUGAUCUCAAGCAGAAACUCACUCGACUAUGUAAUUUUAAUCUUUCACUCUUUCUUCUUUUUUUUGGAAAUAUCUCAUACUUCAUUGAUCUGAAAGAACUGAAUGGAACUUCUAAGAUGGUUUUAAAAAAAAUUUACAAGUGCAUUAGAGUACUACUUCUCCUUUUUAACUGAAUUAAUCGUCAUCCUCUAAUAGUGUAAAUCCUUUAACAGGCAAGACAACAACAGUAAAAACUAGAUACGUGGUGAUGUCAGAAGAGAUCUUGAAGAAGUACCCAGAGCUAGCAAAGGAAGGUCAACCGACCAUAAAGCAGAGACUGGAGAUUUGCAACAAAGCUGUGACAGAAAUGGCCAUUGAAGCUUCACAAGCUGCCAUUAACAACUGGGGAAGGCCAGCUUCAGACAUUACCCACUUAGUCUAUGUUUCUUCAAGUGAAGCUCGCUUGCCUGGUGGUGAUCUCUUCCUAGCAAGGGGCCUUGGACUCAGCCCUCAAACCCAACGAGUCAUGCUUUACUUCACGGGUUGCUCGGGAGGCGUGGCAGGCCUUAGAGUCGCAAAAGACUUAGCUGAAAACAACCCAGGAAGCCGAGUCCUGCUUGUCACCUCUGAAACCACCAUUAUCGGGUAACUCUUUUAAUCACCUCCUAAAGCUCAUACAUGCUGUUCUCAGAAUUUUAAACAUAAACACCAAUUUCUUUACAGCUUCAAGCCACCGAGUGUAAAUCGUCCAUACGAUCUCGUAGGCGUGGCACUAUUUGGGGAUGGUGCAGGGGCGAUGGUAAUUGGGAGAGACCCUUUUUUGGGCAUUGAACGACCACUCUUUGAACUCCACACAACAACCCAGAAAUUCAUUCCAGAUACUCAGAACAUAAUCGAUGGGAAACUGUCGGAGGAAGGUAUUAGUUUCACAAUAACAAGAGAACUUCCUCAGAUAAUUGAAGACAACAUCGAAAGUUUCUGUGAGACAUUUCUUCAAACACUUGGGUUACAUGAGAAAGAAUACAACAAAAUAUUCUGGGCAGUACAUCCAGGUGGGCCAGCGAUAUUGAACAGGUUGGAGAAGAGGCUAGAACUGUUACCUGAGAAGCUGACAGCGAGCCGACGAGCUCUGAUGGACUAUGGAAAUGCGAGUAGUAACACGAUCGUGUACGUAUUGGAAUACAUGAUGGAAGAAAGCUUGAAAAUGAAGAUGGAAGGUAGGAAAAUUGAGGAAUGGGGAUUGAUUCUGGCGUUUGGACCUGGGAUUUCAUUUGAAGGGAUUCUGGCGAGGAAUCUUGCCGUAUGAGAAAAAUGAUAGAGUUGAUGCUUACUAUGAAUAUGAAAUUUUCAAUUUCUAUUGUGUGUUAGUUUUUAGAAAUGUUGAAUGGAAUGAUUUGUUUUGGUCUCUACGUUGUUAUCAUCCACCAAGCUUUUUGUAUAUUAUAAUUAGGAUAAUUAUAAAUAACAAUUUUAAGAAUAAUGAUAACAAAAUCUAUUGGUAAUAACUUCCCACAAUUUUUUUUAAAUAUAACAAUCUUAAUUAUUCCUUUAAUUUUAAAAUAUUAAGUCUAUAGAAUAAAACUAAACAACUCAUUUUAGCACUAUACAUCAAUUUUCAAAAAGUUAUAUAGUUAGUCACUAAUGUUGUAAUUUUAUCUUUGUUUCAAUUUAAUUCUUAGUUUCGAUUUUCAUUAAAUACCAAUUAAUAGACAUUAAUGUCUAUUAAUUGAUUUAAAAUAGUUGUGAAGUGAUGAUUGAAAUUUAGUUUUAAUAGUGAUACAUAAAUAAUCAAACUUAAUUAAUCAUACUCUUUUAGGAUGGAAGGUGAGUAUUUAGCUGAUGUUAAACCUUAAAAUGUAAAUCUUGAAAAAUCAAAACAAAAACAAAAAAAUGACUAAAUUUAAACCAAACUUAGAAACUAAAUAAAAAUUAGAUUUAAAGCUUAAAGACCAUAAUAAAACAAAAGUCAAUAAAAUUGUAACGGAUUAAAUUAAAAACAAACUCAAAAUAAAAGUCUUGAAUAUUUAAUAUUUUGAAAAAUGUGGACCAAAUAAAAAGUUAACAGAGGUGUAAAAAAGGAAAAAAAAUAUUUAUUCAACUCCGAACCAUUAAUUUUAUCAAUUUAGACCUUGUAUUUUUACAAAAACAUAAAUAUAAACUUCAAAUUUUAAUUUAAGUUUUAAAUUGAUACAUUGAAGCAAUAAUUAAUUUAAGAUUUAAAUUUAUACAACAUACAAAGUUUUAUAAUAUAAAUAUUUGUAUAUGGAAAAAAAAAACCAAAAACUUAUUGGUGGAAAAGGAAUUAUAAUUUUAGGAAAAGCAAUUCCCGAAGACGCAAACUCUCACAUGUGAAAGUGAAACAAACAAACAAAGUUGGAAAGUUCGUAGAUAUUGAAACUUUGAUUCCUUGACAAACCACUUAUAUUAAAUUUCUUGGAAAAGCACUGCCCAAUCCAAAACUACUUUUCCAAACGGAAAGACGACAACCAAUGAUUAACAAUUCCAUAAUAUACAAUCUUUUGUAUCAUAAAUUAUGAAGACCAAGACGUAGACUCAGAGCCAAAAGAGCAGAGAACCAUAAUCGGAGCUAAGGGAAAAAGAUGGCUCACCUGAAGCUUGAAGGCGCCAUUAAUUUGAAGGAAGAUCUCAUCGCAACCGCUUGCUCUGCCGCCAUUAAAGCUCACAAGCAUCCUGAGAAGCCAUUUCUUCUUGAUAAAACUAGAGAUUCCUCCAUCAUUAGCUUCGCCGGAUCUUCGUCGCCGGAAGCCUGGUUCUCUGCUUCCGAUUCGUCUUUUGGAGAAACCAAAAUCGAUACUCAGCUGUUUCCGUCAGUCAGGAGCAUCGGCGUCGAUGAUUAUGCCGUCGUCAAUUCCGCAUUUCUUCGGAGAUUCCAGGGGAUUUUGGGGAAGCUUAAGGAGGUACCAUUACUAUUAUUUGCCCUAAUUUGGUACUUUUUAUUCUUCACAUUUGCUUUCUUAAGUUAUUUAUUUACUUUCUUCAAUAAAUUUUGGCUAAUCUAAUUAUAUAUUUUAAUCUCAAAUUUUCUAUUUAAUAAUUUUCCAAAGUAUUCUUUUAUACUUUUUCUCAUUUCAGUUGGAGUAAUGAUAAGUUUCAAAUGCAAACUUAAUAAAUGCUCUUAAUUUGAUUCACUUAGGGGAAAUGGAGUUCCAUGAAAAUAAUUUUAAGUCCCACAAGGUUUGUUAUAUACUUACUCGUAGAAGUUUAAGAUGAUGAUAAAUUUAGAUAUUUCAUUAAAAUUAAAGUUAAAGAUGACUCUGCGUUCAAAAUUUUAAAUAAUAUGAUCUAAAUUGAAAAAAAAAAAAUCAAGUUUAGAGUGUUAACACUGUUAUAAAUAUUCUAUUAUAAAUUGCAAUAAAAAGCAUUUUUGUAUGGGUAGACUAAUAAUCGAGUAAGGAAACAUGACCUAUACAAAUAUAUUUUCAAAUUUUAGGAUGAAAAAAGAAAAAUUAUUAUAAAUAAUAAAACUGGAAGUCACUCAAAAUAUAUUUUGAUUUAUAUAUUUUGAUUCAAUCUAAACAGACCAUCAAUCCAAAUAGCCCUCAAUAAUCACCAAGAGGGUUGCUAUAUUUUGUAUUUGAAAAUCGUCUUGAGAUAACGAAUAGAUAACAAGUAGUUUUAUUUUAAAAAACAACAAUAAAUAGGCUUUCUUGAAAAAUAUAGGACAAAAAUUAGAUAUUUGAAGGUAUGAACACAAAAAGUUGAAUAAAAUUUUGCUUUGACAUUUUUGCAAUGCUAUGAUUACAACAAAGAUGAUUAGGUAUCGUACUCCAUAUUUAGAAAUUGCAUUAUUUCCCUAUGCAAUUUCAAUAAAUCCAGGCUUCCAACAAAACCCUAUCACUUCUCUUAACUAUUGAGGGAUUUCGUUUUCUCAGGUUCUGAGAGUGAACAAGUCUGUGGUGUUUACCGGCCACUCAGCCGGAGGUUCGAUAGCCAUUCUUGCAACCAUCUGGCUGUUGGAACAGCAAAGAAACCCAGACUCAAACCCAUACACCAACUUCACUCCUACAUGUAUCACAUUUGGAUCUCCCCUUGUUGGUAACUUCAUUUUCUACCAUGCUCUCAAAAGGGAGAAAUGGUCCACCCAAUUUGUGCACUUUGUCACCAGAUACGACAUCGUUCCACGAAUCCAUCUUGCUCCUCUGUCAUCCUUACAACCACAACUACAAACCAUCCUCAACUGCCUGAACUCGAGAUCACUUGGGUCAACAGUGAAUGGAAACGUAGCUACCGAAUUCUUUAUGACGGUGAUGAGGAAUGCAUCGGCUGUGGUAAGCAACGCUGCAUGUCGUCUCAUGGGAAACACUAACCUUUUGCUAGACACAUUGCAAAGCUUUGUGAAAUUGAGUCCUUAUAGCCCUUUUGGCACAUACAUUUUCUUCACUGAGAGUGAGAAAGCGGUGGUGGUGACCAACCCAGAUGCUGUUUUACAAAUACUAUUCUAUGCUUGUCAGUUGAGCUCUGAGAGCGAAUGUGAUCACAUUGCUCAACAGAGUUUAAAGGCCCAUUGGGGUUAUGAAUCUAAAAUGCAGCAAAACUUGGAGCUACUGCAUGCCAUUCGCCUAGAUGAAUUGGCUAAGCUGCCAUUGUCCUUAACAGGCAGGAACACGGCAAUAACUGAAGCAUUGAAUGAACUUGGCCUAGUAAGUUCUCUAAUCUUCUUGCUCUCUCCAUCUUUAUCUCUCAUAUUAUAUUCUUCGACUCCUAUACCUAAGAAGACAAAUACACAUGAAAUAUAGAUACAAUAAAAUACACCCAAUGUUCAAUGCACCAAAUCACAUUAUGAAAAGUAUCUAAAAGUAUCAAUACUGAUUUUUUGCCUUACCUAAAGGAUAAGGUAUCCCUAACGGGACUUGGUACAAUGAACUCUAACCAUCAAAUGUGAAAUUACAGAGUACAAGAGCUUUAUUGAAUCUUCGGGCAGCAGGCGCAUAUGAAGAGCAGAAAACGAGAAAUAAAGAAAGGAUGGAAGUAAAGAAACAGAAUAUCGAGGAUCAUUUGAAUUGGCUAGAAGUAGAUUACAGAGCUGUUUGUAAGGUUGAUGGUUUCGGAUACUAUGAUGUAUUUAAACUCCAGAAGGAUCCAAUAGAUUUCCAAGCUAAUAUCAAGAGACUUGAACUAGCAGGUAUAUGGGAUGAGACUGUAGAAAUGCUCAAAAGAUACGAGCUCCCAGAGGAAUUUGAGGGCGACGAUGAAUGGAUAAAACUCGGAACCAGGUUUCGCCGUCUUGUUGAGCCUCUAGAUAUUGCUAACUACUAUAGACAUUCAAAGAAUGAUGACACUGGUCCUUAUCUGAUAAAAGGAAGGCCGAAACGUUACAGAUUUACACAAAGAUGGCUUGAGCAUAAUAAAAAAAUGUCAGAUCCUAGUGAAGAAUCAACUCUUUGGGCAAAAGUAGAGGAGAUCCGUAUCAAAACCAAAACCAAAAUGUACGCUGAAUGUUCAAGAGAAAUUAUAGAGCUGGAGAGGAAGAUGAAGCGAUGGAUCAAUGAGAUUGAAGAUGAUAUGUUGUUAAAGAAAUCUACCUUCAUGGAGUGGUGGAAGACACUUCCUGAGCAUCAUAGAUCACAGUCUUGUAUUAAGGAUGACAUCGAGAGGAUGGUGAAUGACAACAAUGCCACUAACACAAUGUAGUCCAACAUUAAUAAGCCAUUGUACUUGAAAAAGACAAUGACAUUCCAACAGCAUCCCUUCUGUUUGUAUGAAUAAUCAGAACUUAUUUAAAAAAUGUCCCUAAUGUAAUGAACAUGUUCUGAAACAAUUUCGCUACCAAUUUUAUAAUAGUGUUGAGGCUAUCAACAAGAUAAUCAACAAGCACUAACCUUGUAAACUCUGACAGAAACGGCCAACCACCUGUGCUGACGGGCAGAGGCCUCGUUCAUGGUCCAUGGAGAUAAACCUUAAGAAAAAAGUACGACAAAUAUAGAAUAGAAUAACCAUUUAAAACAGCAGACAUAAAUUUGAGCAUGUUUGGAAUGACCUUUAAAGAGCUACAGAAGGGGUAUCCAAGCACUAAGAUAAUCAAUCCAAACUCCAUGAAUCCAAUCUCCAAUCUGUUCAUUUACAGAAAUUGUAAUAGUUUCCAAUAGAGACCACCAAUCAACAAUCAAUAUUUUCUAAAUAACUUGCACCGAGUAAGUCAAUAUCAAUAGCAAAUGAGUAGAGUAGGACCUCAUUGAAAGGAAGGAAGAUCACCAAUGGCCUAAUGAAUACAUGAUGUACAAGCUCAAAUGGUGAACGUUAUUCCUGUGAAGGAUCAACCAAUUACAUAAACUAUGAGAAACUCGUCGUCCAUGUCCUGCCCUGCCACUGCCAGUGAAGUACAGACGAAUGGUCUGACCAAAAUCGACGUUGCAUUUUCACCAUCCAAGGAAAACUGCCGGCUAAAUCACUGUCUUUCAAGCUUAGAUCACAGUUUCUUUAUUGUCUCUUUCAUGGAGACAAACAUUUUUUUAAGAACUGUUUUAUUCAAUUUGAAAAGUCAUAUGUAAAGACACAUAUGAGAGACACAGGAGUCCAUCUUUAAAGCAUAAGAAGCAUCAUAAAAAGGAACACCCACCCCCACCACACACAAACACACGAAAUCUCUUCCAAUAAGAAGAAUCAAGGCAAAGGUAAGGCUGCAAAGUUAAAACAGGCCAAAACCAAAAAGUUAAAAUAAGGGGUUUCCAAUCAUUGGACAUUAAAGAGUCAUUUUAAAUGACGAAGAUGUGUUAAGAUGUAUCAAACUAUAGAUUCUUCAAUAUCAAACCAUGCUCACUGUUAACUCUUGAGAAAAUGUUAUUUUACAUGUAUGUUGCAUUCAAGGUACACAGUCAUAAAAACCUAAUUAGCCUAUAUGUCUAAACUCUAAAAAGCAACACAAAUUGAGAUUUACUUAGGCUGAUUUCAAACUUCUUAUCCCAAAAUAAACAAGCAAAAAGACUUAUGUAACAUACAAUUUAUUGGCAAAUACAUGAACUCAGACAGACAGAGGAACGUGAUAAGUAGAACAGUUUCAGCAUAUAUGCAAAUACAAAUAAAUAAGUGGAAAAACCAAACGUUGUUUCAUUAUUCCAUGUAUUCAUUUCUAUACCACCUCGUCUAUUCACAUAUUAAGUACGAAAUAGGUCCUCUACAUUGGCAAAUGUACGAUAAGAUAAGAACCACACUCAUGUACGAAACAGUUCAGUUUAAAGGUUCUCAAUCUCAUAACCAUACUUCAACACCCAAAUGCCACUUCUAUUACUAUGAAAAUCAGAGCCCAAGACUAGCAUAAUACCCAAGACGCAGGAACAAAAGGAAAAAAAAAAGUGAGACCAGACGUACAUUAACUCACAGAAACUGAACACUACCUAAGACCUUGAAAUCAUGCUACAAGAACGAGCCAAUGGUAACGUUGGGCUGCCAGCAAGUACGUUUGUUUCAUUGUCGGCAGGAUCACGAUCAUAUGGCUUUCUGCAGCCAGGACAGCGCCCAUCCUCUUCAAGAAUCCUCUUAUGACAGAAAAGGCAUAGUCGAAAUCCACAGAAACAAGGUAAAAAACUUGAGUCUGUAAGGUCCAAGUCUUCAAAGCAAAUUGGACAAGAUGUAGGCACAGGAAUAACACCACCACAGGCCCAAGAGACCCCUCCACAUCCAAAACGCCGAUCUGUAGUCGGUAAACUAAGCUGUUUUGAUAACGUGGGCAAACUCUGAGGACGAAAGGCAUCAUCAGGCCUCCAUGCUCGGCAAUUCAUCGAAGCCCUCUGCACUAUUCUCCCACGCUCAACACUCGAGUCACCAUCUCCUACGCCCAACUCGUUUCUUCUGUCUCCACAAGAAUCCAAUUGAGAAAUAACAUUGCCUCUGGGGGAAGACUCUGAACAUUGAUCAUGUUGCUUGUCAGUGGCGGCUAGGGCAUCGGCAAUAGCCUCCCAAUCAUCCAAGCAGUCAUCAUCUCCUUCUUCUUCUUCCUCCUCCUCCGUUAUACUCCCUGAGCGACAGCCACUAGAGCUGCUACGGCAGCUACUACUACUGCUACUCCCAGUAAAAUGAGGACCCGAAUCAUUUCCACCCAAUAUACUACUGCCAAGACUAGGGGGGCUAUUAGACGGUGAGUCCGAAUAAUCGCUAUGGUGGUGGACCGAUCUGUCAUUCUCUUCUCCUAUUUCCCUCAUAUUUAUUUUUUCAGAGGAAAGGUCAUCAUCUUUCCUCGUUUUAAUAACCACUGAAUCCAGCCGAUUGUCUUCCUCGUUCCAUUUUUUGUUCUUUACAGCACCUAUCACUCGUGAACCCAAAUCGAUUAAAAACAAAUUCCCACAUGCAUCAAUCCCGUUUCAUAAACAUCUUCAAUCAAACAACAAAUUCAAACAUAAUUAAUGGUUAUACCUCGAGAAAGCCAUUGUUCCCGACGAACGUCAAGCUUGGAUUGCUUCAAUUUUGAAUUCCUAACCUGAAACCCCCAAAACAAAAACAAUCACAACAAAUUACAAGAAACAAAAACAAAAACAAUAAAAUAUCAACAAAAACAAACUCUACAUCAUUAAAAUCAAAAGAGAAAAAAAAUGAGAAGAUUUACGUUUGAACAAAGAGAGAGAAAGAGAGAGAGAGAGAGAGAGAGAGAGAGUCCUCACCCUCUUCUUCUUGGGCAGGGGCAAAUCCCGAGCGUUGGGUGCCAAAGAAAUUGAAGCAUUGGCGAUCGAAUCAGUAACCAUGAUUGAAGAGUUGAAAUCGAAUUGAAGGAAGAAGAACGAUGAGAAGAAACCCUAAUUUGUGUGGAUAUUUUUUUCCGGGAGAGAGAAAAAAUGGUUCGGGGGAGAGAAAGGGAGAGAGAAAGAGAAUGGAUAACGGAAACUCCUCUGCUUCGCUCGCUCUUUUCCACAGACUAGGAAAAAAACAGAGGGCCGAGAUUUCAUUUAAAUACCAACUAAUUUACCAUAAUAUCCCUCUUCUUUUCCUAAAUUUUCGUUCUUACCCACUCAUCCCCUCCCCUUCAUAUUGGCUUUAUAUUGAAGGGCGAAACAUCCUGCCUUCGUGUGCUUCCCCAAAGAGACGAUUUAAACGAUGACGUUUUCCAUUCCAUUUGAUUUGGGCCAUUUCUUGGGCCGAAAAAACCCCCAACAACUUCGGCCCUUUAAGGGAAAUUGAGAGGGGGAGGGAGGUUAGGUUUGUUUGGUAUGUUAAUGUGAUCCAUUUUCUUCCUCCUUUCCGAUCUAGGUUUUGAGGGUCCAACUCUGUUUUUAGAGGACGAUUCACUUAAAAACUAACUUUUUUUUUUUAUUGCUUAAAGUAAGAGAUUGAAAUCAUUGAAGCUCAUUCAGAAGAAUGAUCAAGUUGAGCUUUAUCUUAUCCAGUAACGUAUUUGUCUGAAACUCUUUGGAAGAGUUUGUAAGAUAAAUCUAACCUGAUUAGUCUGAUUAAUGCGUUCACCUUUUACUUCAACGAUGUUGAAUUGCAUCAUCAUGUCUAAGACAUGUUCUCUAACAAUUGUAUCUUCCUUCAUUCGCUUUGUGUAAAUAUAUUUUAUUACUUAAUGUCUUAGGGAGUAUGACUGUUGUUCGAACAUCUCCCUCAACAAGUUCAUAAUCGCUUUAGUUGUGGCUAAUGUCACACCUCGUCUCGCACGCGUUCUUAAAUUUAUCGUGCAAAACAAAACGUGACUUAAGCAAUAUAGAAAAAUGAACUAAAAUAUUUAUAAAAUAUAAUAAAAUUAUAGAAUCCAUCAAAAAUAACAUUGAUAGAAUAAAAAAUUGACCGUGUAUGAUAAAUCCAAACUUUUACUAUAUUUUGAAUCAUUUUAGUCUAUCUAAAAAUGUUCCAACUGUGAAUAUGUAUUUGAUACACUUGUUUUUAAAAUAUACUUAAAAAAAGGGUAUAUUUUAGAAAACAAUAAAACCACGUUUUAUUUUUUAAAAAAAAAUAUUAGAGAACACAAAACACAACAUUUAUAAAGAAAACAUAAAUAGAUUUUAAUCAAAUAAAUAUUUUCAACAUUUUCAAAUUUACAGUCAAACACAAUUAAAAAAAAUGAAUUCAAAUCUAAAGUUUUUAAAUUACAACCAAACAAAGAUGUUUUUAGAUAUGGUAAAAAUGAGAAAUUUAUUGUCAUAAAAAAUUAUUUCCAAAGUAAAAAAAUUGAACUAACAACCAAAUCCAACCUUUAUUUUUCAUUUUUUUAAAGUAAGAAUACUCUAAUUAAUUGGAACGUAUAAUGUAAGGACUCAAAAGGAGAAAAAUAGUACCUUAGAUAUAUAUUUUUAAAAAAUACAUUAAUCUAAGAAAGUACCUUAAUUAUAUUUUUAUUAUACAUAAAAAAACAUUAAUUUGAGAAUUGGGUUUUUUAUUUUUUAUUUUUUAAAAAAAAACCUAAAAUUAGGUUUUCUUACUUGGAGAAAAUGGAAUCUAAUAUUGGGGGGAAUUUCCAACAAUAUGUUAUGACCACAAGUUUCCUUCUUUCCAUUUUAAUAUAUCUUUUCUAAUAUAAAAAUAUUUUUUUCUUAAUAGAAAAAUACAAACUAAUUUAGUAAAAUCAUAUCAAAUGACGAAAACUUUGAAAAAAAAAUAGCUCAUAGUACCAAUUUUUUGGCAUAUUACAAAUAUGACAAAACUAGUGAUAUCAGUAAUCAUAGGGCUAACAAAGAGUCGUCAGUUUUAAAUUUGUUAUUUUUGCAAAUUUAGAAAAUGUUGUGACAUGGACUCUAUUAUUAUAAUUUCUUUUUGCUAAUUUUACAAAAGCCCCAACGAUUUACACAAAAACCACUAAAAGACAAAAACUCAUUAUAAUUAUUUUAUGAUUUUGUCAUAAAGUGUAAAUAGUUUAUCUAUUUUAUCGUUUUAUUUACUAUUUCCCAUAAAGGUAAAAUUCUGAUAAUUUUUUUUUCUUUUUCAAGUAGGCUAUAUUUGUUAACAUAUAAGUGAAUAUUUAUUAGUCCUUAGGGAGGGUAGUGGUUAGGUAAAAUCAAAUUUGUGUUGAGUUUGGCCAAUUUGUAUUAAUUUUCCUUAGUCCCACACCAACAGGGUAUGAAAGUAAUUUAACAACAAAAAUAAAAACACGGAGAAAAAAUGAUUUUUUAACGGUAAAUUAUCAUUGAGUUAUGCUUACUAUUAAUAUAAUAAUUGUUUGUACGUGGUAUUCAAAAUCUCAAAUUUCUAAUUUCUUUUAGAUGGAACUUGCCAUUUAAAGUAGUUAUAAUAUUAAGAUAAAAUUAAGAGUUUCUAUUAUCUAUAAGAAAAAAAAAAUCAAAAAAUAGUCCUAAAAAGAAAAAAAAAAUCAUUACAUUUGAUUUUUUUUUUUACUUUUGACAGUUUUCCAUAAAAUUUAUAUACUCUACGUUAGUUUGGGAUUUUUUACUAUUAUUUUCUUGUGAAAAGUUAGUCAUUUGAUCCUCACAAUCGUUAAAUUGAAAAUAAGCUCUCGAAAUAUUUUUCUUAAUUUUUGAGACAUUCACAGUGACUAGUCCAGAUGAGUGUGUUUAUGUGUUGGUAAGACUAGAGAUUUUUACAAGUUGUUUAUAAGAAAAGUACAUUUUUGUUUAAUAACACGAGUGAAAAAUUAAAUAUCUAUGAUCUAAUCACUUCUUUGUAAUAGUUUAACGGUUCAAGUUGGGGUUUAGUUUAUAAUUUAUUUUUAAACAGUUGAUUGUAAAAAUUUGUAUUAGUUGAAUUAUGCUCACAUUGAUAGAUUUAUGUAUUUAACUCUUUUUGAUUUUGUUGGUUUUAUUCAUGUAUUAAUAUGUGGAUUUUGUUUAAUUUAUUUGUGACGUAUCAUUUCACCAUUUACUCUCUAUUCUUCUAGGGUAUAUGAUUCAAUUCAAUAAAGCUAAAAGCAUAGUGUUAUGAUUGACUCACUCAUGUGCUGACUAAACUAAAGGUGAAAAUAUUUUUUUAUUUUCUAAAAAUGAUCAAAGACCUAUCUAACUAAAAGGUCGUAUAACUAUCGACACAUAACCCUAUUUCAAUAGGUACGACGUUGUACUUUAGAUCUUAAGCUUGGAGAUUUCGAUUUCCAAUUCUAUCGUAUUGUUAAUCUAUAUUUCAAAUAUUGUUUAAAUGUCCUUCUAAACAAUAGAAUUUUAAAAUUAAUUAAAAUUACUCUUAAUUGAUCACAAGUUAUCACAUAGAAAGUAAGAGACGAUAAAUGAAAACGUUAUUAAAUGGACCCUAAAUUUCAAAGUUUUUUUUGUUAAAAAAAAAAGGAUUGAACUAACAUUAAGAUUUAUUUACAAAUAUGCCUAUAAAUAUAUAUAUAUACACGUAUAUAUACGAGAUUUGAAUUUUGUACUUAAUAGAUCAAUGAAUCGUGAAAAUACUCUUAGCUUAAUUAGUAUGAUCUUUCUUUAUAUAUAAAUGAGAGUUUCGAAUCUCUUAAUUCUACCAUUGUUGUACUAAUAUAUAUAUAUAUAACAUUUUAACUUCAUUUUUUGUUUUCAAUGAGUCUUCGAAAUUUUGAAUCGUAUCUUAUAAGUCUAUUUAUAUCCAUAUUUUUUAAAACAUACAUUCACAUAAUUUGUUAGAGGUAAAAUUGAAAAAGUUAAGUUGUUUGUUGGUAGAGAACUUGAAAACAUACAUUUUAAACAAAAUGGAUUAAAUGAAAACAUAAUUCUACUUUACCAGAAACAUAUUUGAUAGCAAAUUAAAAAAUUGAAUUGUAAUUUAAAUGAUUGUAAAUUCGUUGUAUUUGGUUACUUUAAAAUAAUUUAGUAUUAAUUUAUUUACGAGCAUAUAUUUUGUUAAAAUAAAGUUUGUAUUAUUAUUAUUAUUAUAUUUUGUUAAAUUUGUUAAAACGAAUUAUCCACAUUUCAUAGAAAAAAUUCAUACAAAAAUUAAUUACGCCUCAUUUUUAUUUGAACAGUAAAUAUUUUGUUUAUUUUCUGUUUUUGACAUUUUCUAUAUGUAUACGAAGAAUCGUAAAAAAUAACAAAGUUAACAAAAUGUUUUGUAAAAUAAAAUAAUAAAUUAAAAUAAAUAUAUAGCAAAUUUCAUAUCCUAUGAGAGAUAGAUAUUGAUAGGUGCUGAUAUGUUUCUGUUACUAACAUCGAUAGACAAUAAUGAAAGUUUACGGGUUUCUAUGAAUAUCUGCUAAACUUUGCUAUAUUUUAUAAAUAUUUUAAAGGACAUUUUCAAAUACAGUAAAAUAAAUUAAAAUAUUUAAAAACUAUAACAAAAUUUUGAAUUCUAUCCAUGAUAGAAACUAAUAAUCUUCUAUCAUUAAUUGUCUAUCAAUAGCACAAACAUAUAAGUUUCUAUCAAUAUUUAUCUCCAAUAGAAUCUAAAAUUUUGCUAUAUUUUAAAAAUAUUUUGUCAAAUUUAUCAUUUUUUGAUAAAUUUUAUUUAUUUUACUAUAUUUGUAAAUGACUCACACACAUAUAUAUAUAUAUGAGAAAUUACAUUAGAUGAAAAAAAUUUGAAAAAAAAUGGCUCCUAACACUUCUUAUUUAUAUAUUGUAAAUUUAGUAAAUAUGAUGGUAAUCAAACGAUAAUAUGAUACGAUCAUAAUUUAGUUUUAGAUCUUCUAUUUUUACAUUUUUAAAAAUAUAAAUUACAUAGGCUCUAUUAACAUUUUUUUUUUUUUUACUAUUUUUGCAAACUCGCUCGGCGUGUUAUAUAUAUUAAAAAGAAAUUUGAUGGAGAACGGUACACCUGAAAGCUGAAACGUGGAGCCCUCCACGUGGCGUGAUGGGCCUAAAAAGUUCCAAAAGAGAAUUCCACAAAAAUCCCAUACUAUCGUAUUAUUUUUCCAAUGUCGUCAUCUUAAUAUAUCUACACCUAUAGUUACUUUUAAAUUUGUUUUUUCUUUUCACAAAAUUACUUUUAAAUUUAUAUUUUGUAAAUCUCAAAUUACAUUUUGUACAUUUUUUUCAAGUUUACAUAUUGUUAAUUAAUCUUGGCAUCUAUUUUUUUUAAUGGAGAUCUACAAUUAAGUCGCAAUAAAAACUAUAUUAUCGAUAAAUAUCAUCAUUAAAAUGCAUAGUAUAAAAAUAUACUAUAUAUGUAGUCGGAAUGAAUAUUAAAAUUCAUAAUUUAGUUAGUGUCAUUUGAUUUAUCAAAAUUUGAAUCUCAAUAAUUAGUGGAGGAAGAGAAUAUAAUUUAAAUUAGCUAACUUAUAUAUUUUCCAACUGGUGAUCGUAAUUUGUAUAAACUUAAUUUGAGUUAUAUUUAGUUUAGUAUACUCUUUAAAAUUUAGUGAUCAAAAGAAUAGAUUCACGUGGUACUAUCGUCCUAGAAUGGAAAAUGGGUCAUCAUUCCUUAAGAAAAAAAGAAAAUUUGUUAGAUUGAAGAUGAGAUGAGGUACACCAAAAUUUAUACAUUGUUAUUAAGUUGUAACCAUAUCUCGACUUCACGCAUUAACUUAAGCACUAAAGAAUAUUUUGCAAAAACUAUAAGAAUUUUUUAUCUUCGACGAUAGCUUUUUCUGUCCACGUAAUAAAAAAUGUCAAGAGAGCUAUUAUUCUACAGACAUUUUUUCAAUGCGUGGGCAUAACAUCACUUCUACUGACGACAAUCUACACACAUUAGCAAAAAAUUGUGUGGUUAAUUCUAGUGAAAAUAUUAGAUUGAGUUUCUAUCGACACUUAUUUUAGUUUCUAAUUAACCACGCAUCUGUAUUGACAAAGACCACAAUUCUUGUAGUGAAAGUACUACCACAUUGAUAUUUAUGCAUAGUGUAUUGAACAUAUGCUACGAUAACAAAGGAAGUUUAAAGGCGAGAAACACACGACAAGUCAAAUGAUUUAGAAAAAUCAAGAUUAAGAUUCAGAACAAAAGUUUGUCGAAAUUUUGUUCGAAAAACGACAUUUGAAGGGCGAGAAAAAGCUUUCCCAUGACGAAAUAUAGGAAUAUGAAGCAUUCGAAUUUGUAUGAUAGUUACGUAUGGAUGGGUAUCAAAAAUUAUUUGUUGGCACCCCACACGUUAUAUGUCGCACUACAUGUUAAGAAAUAAGCAUAUACAUUCUCUCUUUCCUUGCAAGAUAAACAAUAAAUUCAAUGUACUAUAGAUUUAGAGAGAAAGAGAUCUCUCCCUCUCUAUAUAUAUGGAAUAUAUAUUAAGGUGAGCUACAAUUUUCUUGGUUGGAUGUACUCUCAUAUUCACUCUAAUAAAAGCCAUUGUCCCAAUUUGACCAUGAUUUUGGAUGAUGACUUCUUAACUCUACCCACAUUUUAAACAAUUUCAUUAGUUUAAUUAUAUUAUAAUCUAUAUGAUUGAAUAAUCUUCUAUGAUUGUAUUAUUGACUAUAAUAAUAAUAAUGAUAAAUAGGUAAAUAUAUAUAUAUAUAUAUAUAUAUAUAUAUAUAUAUAUAUUAUUAUUGGAUGAAUAUCGAUCGAUCGAAGUUGAAUUUCAGCUAAACUGCUAUUGAACUGACUAUAAUCGAUGAAUGAUGAUAUUGGUUGAUUUAAAUCGAUUUAAGCAUAUAAAAUCAUUUGUUUAGAAUUGCUAUCAGUUUGAACUUUUCUCGAAUGGACCGGUGAAGAAAAAAAAUGGUAGAAUAUAAAGUUGUAGGAGUUUUAAAUCAUCUUCUAAAUACUUUAUAUACUAAAAGCAACCAAAGGAAAAUUAAAGUUAAUAUUUUAGUUUUAAAAUUUAGUGAAAUAUUAAAGAAGAUUAUUAGGAGUGAUUCACUUCUCAACAAAUUUUGAAAUCAUUAUAAACUUAGUUUUUUCUUUAUCCGAAAUUAAUUAAUUUCUAGUGAUUAAUGAUACAUUAUAAAUGAUUUUUAAGUACGACAAAAACCAUUUUCAUUCAUUUCAAAAUUACUUCAUCUUCUCAUUUUUAUUAUAAAUGAUAUUUUUAACACAUAGGUUGAAGGGAUGAAAAAUGUUUAUAUGUAUAAUUUUUAUUAAAAAAAAAAACAACAAUAUUUACACUUUCAAACAAAAAUCUAAUUCUAAUAGAUUUUUUUUUUUUUGUUUUUCUACUAAGGGUUAGGAUAUAUGUAUAUUUCUAUUUAAGAAAAAACCAAAAAAUAGAAAGAAAAAAAAGAUAUUCAAAAUCCCUUUCCCAUUUCAACCGACAAAGAAGACUGAUAAAUUAAGGCCGUCGAGUUUGGGGUCAACAAAAUUUGAGGUCAUUAAUGACUUUUGUGGUUCCCUAAUUAAAUUGUGUUGUGAGUUGGGACACCUCAACUUAAAUUAACUAUUCUUAUCACCACUAUUAUUAUUAUUAAAGACAUUUUUAAAAAUAACAAAAUAAAUUAAAAUAUUUACCAGCUAUAGUAAAAUUUUAAAUUUUAUCAAUGAUAGUCUUCUAUCACAAUAGCAUAUCAAUGACUGUCGAUGGUAGAAUUUGCUAUAGGUUGUAAAAUCUACUAUUUUUAAAAAUUUCCUUUAUAAUUAACUAUUCUUAUUACUAAUAAGAAUAAAUUUUAAAAAUAAAAGAUUUGACAAACUAUCUACGGUCUAUAGCAAAAUUUUAAUCUCAAAGUAUUCAUGUCUUUUUUAUUGUAAGAUGUAAGUACUUUUCAGAAAUGUAAAUUCUCCAUAAUAAUAUUAUUAGUAUUAGAGGUAUUUUUUAAAAUAGAAAAAUAAAUUAAAAUAUUUACAAACUAUAGCAAAAUUUUCGAUUAUAUCAAUGAUAGUCUUCUAUCACUAUAACAUAUCAAUGACUAUCGGUGAAAGAAUUUUCUAUAAGUUGUAAAUAUUUUGUAAAAUUUGCUACUUUUGAAAUUUUAUCUUAUUAUUAUUCACUCUUCUAAUUUUAAUUUUAAAAUUCCAAUACUCUUUUUUGAAAAAAUGGAAACUAUUCAUGAAAAAAAAAACCACUAAAAAAUAUUACAUUUAGUUGAUUUUUUAUAAAAUAUAAAUAGUUUGUUCAUAAGAAAAUUACAUCAAAUGACAAGAAUAUUAUAAAAAAAAAAUAGCUCUGACACCAACUUUUUGCACAUUGUGAAUAUUAAACGAUAAUCAUAAGACUAUUGGAGAGCUAUCAAACAGUAAUCACAAGACUAUUAGAGGACAUCACUUUUAAAUUUGCCACUUUUACAAAUGUAAGAAACGUCGUUACAUCAUAAUUUUUUUUCAUUUUACUGAUUUUGACAAAUUUCCUAAAAAAAAUAUAUCAAAAACAUAAAAAGUGGAAAUAAACAACAAUUUAUAGAGAAAACAAAGUUUUUUUAGGAAAAAAAACUAGAGGAAUAAACCCUAAAGUUAGAAUAAUCGAAAAUAAAAAGUAUAAAUCAAUAAUGAUAGAGACGAAAAAAAACUAAACUUUUCACAUGAUUUUAAAGACAAAAUAAAAAGAAAUGAGAGAAUAUAUAUUUUUCUUAACUUGAAAUGAUAGUCAAUUUUUUUAUAAAAAAAUCAAAAUAUCCCACAAACAUUAAAAAAAAAAAAAGACAAAAGACUUAAAAAGAGUGAAUUUUUAAAUUAAUGUAUUUGAAAUCAUGAUCCAUUAGAAACAUUUUAUUAAUUACUCGAAACGAAGAUAACAAGAGAGAAACCUCACCCAUCUCUUUUGAGAUAGAAUACUCUCUAAUUAUCAUGAAGUUGACUAGCCCACACCAAAAGACGAGUCUCAUCCCUUUCAUAACACACAACACAAGCACCACACAAAAGACUCAACGCCAACAAACGAAAUCGAAGCAAAAGACUACGCACAAACUAAAAGAGCUCGUACAUAUGAUAAGGUGAAAAAAAAAACAUUCCCUUUAAUAAAAGAAAAUUGUUAAAAACAGGAUGCUAACACUAUUUGUCAUUCAUAACCGGAAAUUAAACAAUUGAAUUUAUAAGAUAUUAGAAAAGAAAAAUCAAUAUUGCAACACAAUAAUAAUUAUAAUUCAUUUUAAUUUUAGGAAUAUGAUUUUUGAGAUAAAUUUGUUGAACCAAAAUUGAAAAGAAAACCAUUAGUUGAGGUACCAACUACACUCAUGUUUUUAUGUGUAAAAUCAUUUGAACUAAAGCAUAUAUAUAUAUAUUACACAAACACAAGAGAAAGGUAAAGAGGAAUACAAAUCAAAUAUUUUUCUCACCUACCACACCACUUUUGCAUUUUCUUCUCACCUCACUAACAACAAAUCCAUUUUGCCUUCAAAAAAUAAAAAUAUUACACAUCAUACCAAGAAAAAUAAAUUAGGAGUUUUGUGUUUUUAUUGUAUAAUAAUUAUAAGUUUAGUUGUUAAAUAAUAAUCUAAACUUUUAAAAUGAGUUAUAAAUUUACAAUUUUCUUAAUAUAUUAUGGAGUAUUGAUUCUCACAUACCCAAACAUUUAUUGUUUGUUUUUUCCUUUUUUUUUUCUCAACUAUUUAAAAGAGAGAUUUUUAAAUAUAGCAAAUAAAUUAAGUUAUAGCAAAAUCAUCAAAUUUUCUGUAAAUUAUUGGAGUUUUUUUUUUUUUUUUUACUAUUUUGUAAAUAGUUUCAAUUUUUACUAUUUAUCACAAUUCUUCUACUUAAUAUAAAUAUAGGGCAGGACACAAAUUUAUUCACCAUUUUAUAAAGAAAAAAUAAAAUUUUAAAAUUUUAAAAAAAAUUAUUUGAAAUUUGGUAAAAAAAAUUAAUUCAGGAAAAAUUGAAAAAAUAGAUUCAAUUUUCAAACAUAGAAAAUCAAAUAAGACUUAUAACUAAAGGGUCAAUCACCAACCAGAGUAUUAUUCUUCAAAACUUGGUUUGAUUUUAUAAUAUGGGUAGAAAGUUAAAUUUAAAAAUGAAAGUUGGGUUUAUAAACUUCAUUUUUAAAAUUAAUAAAAAAAGUAUUAAUGUCAAAUUAAUUACCAAAUGGAACUUUAUUAAACAUGUUUUUUUUUUUUUAAUAUUUAAACAUAAUUUUCAAAGUUGACCCUAAAAAUAAAAGAGAAUUAUGGGUUCUACUUUGUGUUUAAAAAAAUGUUAAAAAAAGUGAACCUAUUAAAUAAUUGUGUAUUGUUUUUUUAGAAAAGAAAGUAAAAGAAUAAAUGAAGAUAGGGAUACAUACUUUUAUUAACUCAUCACUUUAAAAACAAAUCCUUAGUAUUAGCAUCUAAAAAAGGUCAAUUAUUCUAAAUAAACCUAUGAUGUUGAAAUGAUAUAAUUAGAGAUUGAAAUUUGUUGUAGUUACUUUUUUAAUUAAUUAAUUAAUUAAUUUGUUUUUUUUUUAAAUUCUAAAGGAUGAUAGUGAAAGGAAAACUGAAUCGAAAGAUGGAGUGAAUUGGGAGGAAGAUUUAAGCGGAAAUUUUUUGUCUUAAAUAUCUACAACUGUAGUAAAAUACCACAAUUUAUCACAUGACAAACGAUCAAGACAAAAUAUUAUUAGCUGUAACACAGAUAGACGAUAAUGAUCUAUUUGAUAUUUUGUGGUCUAUAUUGAGAUAUUUUGUUAUAUUUUAUAAAUAUUUUAGUUUAUUUUUGAAUAUCUGAAAAUGAUUUGGAAGGAAUAACAAAGGGUGGUUUGGUAACUAGGGAUUAAUUAAUUAAAACAUUAAUUAAGGUUAUGAUUUCUUCAGCUUUUUCUUAAGGUUCAUUUUAUAAAGGGCUCGAUUUUGCUCCCACUCAUUUCAUUUUAGCUUAAAUUGCAAAUCACCUUAUUAAUUAAUUUAAUAUAUAUAUAAACAUGCUUUAACUCAUUCAAAUGAUUUGUUCUAAAAAAUAUAUAUAUUUAUUAUUUAUAUAUGUAUAUAUAUAUUUUAAUUUCAUCUGAAUAUUUCAUUUUGCAUAAAUAAUGAAACUAUAUGUUUAAGAUUGGUAGGGUGACAAAAGUUACACACAUAUAUUGUUUAAAUUUCACACGUUUUUUUGCGUAUUACAUUAUUUUUGUUUAAGACAUCAAUAAUAUUAUUUUUUUUAAUCUUCGCAAAGGAGAACAAAGUCGUUCUUGUAAUCGUAACUUUGACAACUUCUUCUGAACGCUCAACGUUACUCUUUACUCUGAAAAAUAUAUUUUUUCAAAUGUAAGGAUAUUACAAAAGACCUCAUUCACCAUCUCCAAAAGGGAAGAGUGAGUGUUAUCUCUAAAGAAUAGCUACGACGUAUUCUAAUUUGGAGACCGUUAUAGGCUCACCAACACAUCGAUUCAAUAAACUUUCACACAAGUAGAGGUGAGCAUCGGUCGGUCGAAGUUGGUUUUUUGACAAAACCGACCAUAAUCGGUUUAGUAAAGUGUCAAACUGACUAGUCGAUCAGUUGAUUUAACACUUAAAAAUACUGUUUGAAAAUUCUCGAUUUGAAACUGUUUGAAACCAGCUCUCUUGUUUUUCGAUUGACCAACUUCAAUAUGAUUCUUGGUCCAUCAUGGUCACCUAUACAUACAAGUUUACUAGAUAGAUAAGACCAAAUCAGAAGAAGAAGAAAAAAAACGUAUUGACAAACAAUCCCAAAAGGAACGUGGAGAUGUCAACAAACUAUUUGGACAAAUUUUCAUUCAAACAAUGAAAAACAAAAACAAUAAUGAUAAUGAUAUUAUUUUAUUCACCGUAUAAUAAGGUUAUGAUAAAUGAGAGAUUGAAUGUAUUUGAAAUAAUUCACAUAAAUAAUAGAAAAUAAUAGUGAUUUGGUUGAAUUAAGUAUUUGUUUAAUUAUUUAAGAGGGAAAUUUAAUAGGCAGAAGAAGAAGACUGCGUCGUUCGGGGAAAGAUUAAAGACGAAGCAAACAGUGAGAAUGGUUAAAAUAAUGAUGAAAAGUAGGUUAGUCUUCGCCAGCAGGUGACGGAAAACCCCAAUCAUUACGUGACACGUUAUCUUUUAAAUUAUGACCAAUUAAAGUUUUCACUUUAUUAAUUUUUCAGUACCCCUUCACAGUUCACAUCAUUUUCUCUUUAUCCCAAAUUUACUUCUUUUUCUUCCUUUUUGACCUCUUUGCCUCUUGCAUUGUUAGCUAAAGUAAUAUGGAUAUCAACAUGCUAUUGAAUUUCGGUUGACACGUACGAACAUGUUUUGAAACGUAAUUCAUCAAUGGUAAAGUAGAAAGUGACCUUUAGUUGGAUUGUGUUUGUAGUUGUUUGCUUUUUUUUCGUAAUCGUAAUAAAUGUCUUUAGAAAUCACCUUCAAAUAGAGAUGAUCAUCGGUCGGUCGUAGUCGGUUAUUUAAAAAACUCAACCUGAACUGACCAUAGUCGAGUUAAUAAAGUGUCAAACCAACCUCAAUUUUAAUGAGUAAGAGUCGACUGGUCGAUUUGUGUCCGGUCAGUUUAACAUUUAAAAAUACUUUUUGAAAAUUCUCGAUUUGAAACUUUCCAAACCAACAUUUUCUCGUUUUUCUACUAAUCGACUUCAAUUUGAUUAAUAAGCUCGAUUUUUCGAUAUAUUAUGCUCACUCCUACCUUCAAAUAUGCAAUCAAAACAUGUAAUCUAAUUGAGUAGCAAAAAAUUGAGGGACUCAUUACUUUUACGGGUACGAUAAGAAUAUGAGAAUUAUGAAUUUGUUACUUUUACUUUUUACCUUUACCCUACCAUUUUCAUUAUCGUUGAGAUAAAGUAGUAACAAUAAACUUAACAAAUUUGUAAUUAUAAAUAAUAAUUAUGUCAAUUUAAACCCUAAACCACAAAUGUUAUAUCAAUUUAAACCAUAAAUUAAUAAUUAUAUCAAUUUAAACUCUAAACUUUUACAGACUCGUAAAUUUAAACUAUGAACUUUCACAAACAUAUCAAUUUAAACUCUUAACUUUUAUAAGUGUGUCCAAUAAAACAUAAUAGAUGACUUAAAUUGACGCAACCUAAAACUCGUGGUUUAAAAUAAUAUAAUUAUCAUUAAUAUAUGGUUUAAGUCGAUACAAACUAUAAGUUGAUACUUUUCUAAAAGUUCAACUAUAUACAUACCAUACCUCCUCUAACACUUCAUAAAACUAUUUAUUAUAUUUGAAUUAAAGAAAACUUUAGUUGUUACUACAAUUUAUUUACAUGCCAUUGAAGUGUAACUAUAGAGCAUUAUCUCAACUAUAGAACAUUACAUUAUAAUUUCCCCCACUUUUUUUAAAUAGAAAAGUACACAACAAAUCAAACAUAAAGAGCCUAGAUGCUAUUUUUAUGUACAUUUUUUAAUUCUUAAAAACUAAAAAAGGAAAAGAAAACACAAGUGGGGGAAGUUAAAACUACCAAAAUAAAAUACAUACACAAACUUUAAUAUGACACAAAUAAAGAAAGAAAGAAAGUAAGAAAAAGUAGAUGUACUAUUUUACCCAAUAAAAAAGAAAAGAAAAGAAAAGAAAAAGUGGUAUUUUCAAAUAUACGUUGACCAACCAAAAUAUAACAAAAAUUUUAGAUUCUAUUAAAGGUUGACAAAAAGACAUCAAUAGACUUGUAUUAAUGUCUUUAGUGAUCGAUAAGGAAUAAAAAUGAGCAUGAUAGACCCAAAAAUUGAGCCGACCUACUGACUAGAGGAGUCGGUCAGGUUCAAUUUCAAAAAAUUUCAAAUCGAGAAUUUUCAAAACCUAUUCUUAAGUGUUAAACCAACCUAACAAAAACUGACUAAUCCUUACUUAUGAUGUCAAGGCCGGGUUGACACUUUACUAAACCGAUUAUGGUUGGUUUGGGGUCAAUUUUGUAAAAAAAAGACCUGACUUCGACCAACCGAUGUUCACCCCUAUUAUGGAGUCUAUCAAGGUAUUUCAAUAAUAUAUUUUGUAAAUAUUUUGGGUGUUUUUAUUUAUUUAGGAUGCUUUUAUAAUUUAUAAAUAAUACAAUAUACAAUAAAAGGUGAAUAAAGUAUUUAUUUAAUUUGUUAGGAGUACAAAAAGUGAAGAAGGGUGUGAGGGAAUUAAAUGUAUAUAUUUGUGGACCAACGCAUAAGUUAUGAUUAAUUUAAUGCCAAAUUUAGGUUAUAAUCAAAUUAUAUAUAUAUUUAUUUAUUUUCCUUAAGAAAAAGAUUAUAUAAAAUUUAUUGUGAUCACCGGCAUCUUCUUCUUCACAGUUCCCAACAGUUUAAAAGCAUAAACCGGUUUCCUCGCGACUCCCAUCUUCUUCCCCAACUCCCCGCGGGAAAAAUCCGUAGCCAUUUUGUUAUCCGCUUCCCGCCGGCAAUGUUGCCGGUAUUUCCACAUCUGUCGCCGCCGCCUGAGGUCUAACUCUGUAUACGGCUACAAUUCCACUUGUUAUGGCUCUCUCUGCCUCUACGCCGCAGAGCUUGAAGCUUCGUAUUCUCUCGUGCCUUACCAAGCUUUCCGAUCGAGAUACCUAUUCUCUUGCUGCAUCCGAGCUAGAAUCCAUUGCUCAGAAUCUUGACGGGAGUACCUUGCCGAUUUUCCUUUCAUGUAUAUAUUCCACUGAUGCUUCGGAUAAAUUGCUGGUUAGGAAGCAAUGCAUUCGUCUCUUUGCUGUUGUCUCAGAGAUUCAUGGAAAUUCUCUCGCUCCUUACCUAUCGAAGAUUCUUUCUAAUAUCACACGCCGGUUCCGCGAUCCUGAUUCGUCGGUCCGAUCUGCUUGUGUUAGCUCUGUAACAGCAUUAGCUUCCGGUGUUACCAAACCGCCGUUUUCGACAUUUUUGAAGCCUUUAACUGAUUCGCUUUUCACGGAGCAAGAUUCUAAUUCGCAGGUCGGAGCGGCGUUGUGCUUGGCUUCGGCAAUUGAUGCUGCACCGGAUCCGGAUCCGGUUAAGAUCGGCAAGCUUUUGCCGAGGUUUGAGAAGCUUUUGAAAUGCGAGAGUUUCAAGGCGAAGCCGGCUCUCUUAACGCUGAUCGGGAGUGUUAUUGGAGUUGACGGAGCUUUAGGAAAUGGAGCUCUAAAAAAUUUGGUCCCCUGCUUGGUUGCAUUCCUCAGCAGUGAGGAUUGGGCGGCGAGAAAGUCUGCGGCAGAGGCGUUAGGUAAGCUAGCAGUCGUGGAGAGGGAUGCUCUGGCAGAGUUCAAGGCCGGUUGCUUGAAAACGCUCGAGAGUCGGCGAUUCGAUAAGGUAUCAGUUUCUUAAUGCCUUUAAAAAUACAAUAAUCGAAUUUAGUUAUUUGAUCUUGUUUUUCGAAACACUGUGAUAUAGGUUAAAGCUGUACGUGAGGUAAUGAGUCAGAUGCUCGAGGCAUGGAAACAGAUUCCUGAUCUCUCGGAUGAGGCAUCUGCGCCUGCUUAUUCCCAAUCUUCCUCGAAAGGUAACGUGCUUAGACAUUAUCUUCGGUAAAUGUUUAGCUAAUUUCCUGCAUGUCUGGUGAAAUUGUUUACAGCAUUGUAAUUUCUUCCAUUUCGGUACUUGAUUCUGUUUUAGAAAUCGUAAGUGAUGGACGUUAUCCACCUGGAUUUAAGAAUAAUUCUUCAGCUCGUCUUGAUGCUCCUCUCCCGAGGAAGAACGUUAUCUCAGCUUACAGGUCUACACCGCCGGAUGCCUCACCUGCGACGGCAGCGAGAAGGAGAAGCUCUUUGAGCGGUGGUGAUAAGAAAGCAAGUUUGUCAAUGCUCCAGAAGGCUGAGCGUAAGAAGCCUCUGGACUGGAAAGUAGAAGUCUCUGUUAGGAAAUCUCCCUCGGGAGAACUGAAGGAAAGAGAUGAAAACAUUCCGGAUAGAAGGUUCAGUGAGAAAACAAAGAUUUCGAAACCAGAAACAAAACGCGCACUCUUCAACAAGAUUUCUGACGAUAAGACUAUUAAAUUCGGUGGACUCCGGUCUGGAUCUCGCGUAGUUCCUUGUCCAGAGGAUUUUCCUGAAUCGACUGUUGUAGCAAGUAGUGCAACCGAUGAUCUGCACAGGAACCACAAAGACUCUGAAGAAUUACAUUUGAUCCGUAACCAGCUUAGUCAAAUUGAAAAGCAGCAAUCCAGUCUUCUGGAUAUCCUCCAGGUUGGUAACCGAAUCCCUAAAUCUGUACCUAAUCUGAAAGUAAUACGUUGAAUCUGAAUUUAUUUUCGUUUCUUCAUGCUUGAUUCAUGACCUCAGUUAAGUUGUAUAUGUUUUCCUCAUUGUCAUUCUAGAUAUGAUAAAUUUUCCGAGAAAUAUGAACGUUCUUACAUCAAUAUAGUAAAUCGUUCCUUGGAAAUUGGAAUAAUUAGAAUGCAGGAAAUAUAGACGUACUUGUACAAUGUAGAUAGAACAAUAGACGGCAAGCACAUAGAACAUUGAAUCCAAAAAUGAAAUAUUCAAGGGACAUUGUAUGUUUCAUUGUACAUGCUCUACGGAAUUAACAUGAUUUUCUUCCUUAGAGAUCGGAUUUGAUAUCCCAUCGAUCGUUCGAAUAUGAUUUUUGAAGUAUACACAUGGUUGUUUUUUCAUACCUCACCCUGCCACUAAAUCUUAGAUAAACCACAUUCGGGCUACUAUUGUGUCAACUGCUCAUGCCGUUUAUAACUUCUCUACCAUUUCUUACCAAAAAGUACGUUUCUCGUCAAAAUACAAACAAACUACUGCCAACUUCAGAAUUACAUUGGGAUUCUCUGCAAUGUGCAGUAUAGUGAUCACUCAUUGCAAUUCAGUCAUUAAGGGCUAUCAAUCUCACGUGUUUUGCCUUAUCUACCCUUUUUAGAACUUCAUUGGGAGUUCCCAGAACGGAAUGCGAUCCUUGGAGACGCGUGUACAUGGUCUCGAACUGGCAUUGGAUGAGAUCUCAUAUGAUCUAGCUGUAUCAAGUGGAAGGAUGUCUUAUGCUAAUACUCCCACAACCACUUGUUGCCUACUACCAGGAGCUGAUUUUUUGAGCUCAAGGUUCUGGAAGAGAGCAGAAAGCAGACACUCAACGUCAAAGUUCUCUACUCCCAUUCGUGCAACUCCACUGGCUCCAAUCCGCAGCAGAUCAGGCGAUCGCCAUGGAACCAAUGUGGAUGUUGGAUCCACGAAUCUGGAGAAUCAUAGGUUUCAUAUCCAGCGACGGGGUGGAUUUAUGGUGAAUCCAUUGGCUGUGAGACAAAGUGAACCCAGGGCUGCCUCAGAUGUAACACACUAAAGAGUAAAUUCUGAACUUAAUUCACUCUCUCUUUUAUUUUACUCUUAAAUUCCAUCACUUCUUUUUGUGGAUCUCUAAGUAAUUUACUAAACUUCAAACCAUUUUUACUCUUUUUUCUUUCUGGGAUUUGUUAUAUAGGCUUACGGCUAAAUGGGUUUUCACAUUCCUUGUGCCAAUGGGAAUCUAAAGUGGGGAUUCAGAAAGCAAUUACUACCACGAUUUAUGUGGCUAAGGUAAUGCAUUUAAUAGCAUUUUUCUAUUAUAUGUUCAAGAGCCAAGUGAUCUGAAAAUUCAGUGAGGUGUCCUCAAAAAUUUGAGUGAGGUGUCAAAGUUAAAUUUCUCUUUUCCCUAUUGAUGUGGCUAAGGCAAUGCAUUUCUUUUAAAUUUUUCUUUUUUUGUUUGGGAAUGUGAUUGAAAUUGGAAACAAUAGGAGUCUACACUUAAAUGCCAAAUAUUCUAAUAUCUAGAAAGGAGAGUGAUUAAUGAUGUGUAAAUAGGAAGCAGAAUACAAAGGCCUUUUUCACUUCACUUUACACUUACGAUUUUACUCACUGGGGUGUGGAGUUCUUUUCGAUCGGUUGAAACUUAUUGCUUGAAGUGGAAAAGAGUACAUAUAUUUGGUUGAUGAUUAUGAUGUUCUCUCUUCAUUUUUAGCCUUUUUUAUUUUUCUUUAUAGUAUCUAACUUGUAUAGGUUGGUAAUCUAAACCGAUACAACUCUAUCUAUUAGUUUAUAUUACUGAUAAAUACGGUUAAAAAUCUCCUUAAUAUAUAUAUAAUAUGAUUAUAACUUGUGUCAAUUUUAAGAAUAAUAAUUUAGUAUAUAAUAAUAUUUUUUAAAAAAUACAAAUAUGGCAAAAUCUAUCUAUAGUUGAAAGACCAUACAAAAUCUAUUCGUAUGAGAUAGACUUUUGCAACAUGUCUUACAAAUUUUGCGAUAUUUGUAAACUUUUACAAUUAAUUCUCUAUAUAUAUAUAUAUUAUAAUAUAAAUAAAUAAAUAAAGGUGUCAAUCUUUUUUUAAGAAAAAAGAAAUGUAUGAAAGUGCAAUGCUUAGUAAAAAAGAAAAAUGGGUAUAGUAUUGAGAGGUUCACAUGUAGGGCACUGCACAACUGAAAUCAACUUUUCUAUUGCAUCCUUAUUUUAUUAUUAGUAUUAUGCCUUUAUAUUGCAUCUUUAUUUGAGUCAUUGGAUAAGACUUAAGAGAAUAUUAAAUACAAUAUGAAAUUUUAGGUCGAGCUUUUUGAUGCUACUACUAGUGUCACAUCACAUUAAUCAUUAAAGGUGAGUGGUUAUAAAAUUAUAAGAAAAUUAUGGUUUAGAUUGAUUGAUUGUUUUUCUUUUCUUUUUUUAAUCUAGCAAAUUUUAUCCUCCAUGAGAUUGUUCCUCCACAGUUUUCUAUCGAUUUUCCUAAUUUUUAUUUUUCUAGUGAUUUUCCAAUUUCUACUUUAUCUGAAUUUUAAAUUAGUUUUAAACAUUUAAAAUGAGUUAAAAUAUUGAAAAGUUUGCGAUAAUAGGAAUAUAUAUAAUAAUAAUAAAGUUUAUGUCACCGCUAUUUUCAAAUUUGUAAAAUUAAAAAAUUUAAAAACAGAUUCUAUUUUUUUAUAAAACAGAUUCUAUUAGUAAAAUUUGCACUAUGAACGAAAAAAUGCUAAUGAUCUAUUUUUUAAAAACUUUCUUGUCAUUCAAUUUUUUUAAAAUAUUCUAUAUUAAUAUUUUACUAUAUUUAUAAAUAUUUUCAACAAUUUUGUCAUUUAAAAUAAUUUUUACAAAAAAAUAAUUUGUUUUUUCUUUUAUUUCUAAAAUUUAACUCAAAAUUUUGAACCCCAAGUAAACAUCAAUUUUCAUUUCUGCUCUCAAGUCUCAACCAUAAGAUGUGAGUGAAGAUUACAAUUUCUAGAGAAUAUAAUCAAUUACAUUGUAGUUGUAACAUUUAUAUAACUUUUGUAUUAAAAGAGUUUCAUAUUUACUUAGGAACAUAACAAAUAACAAAUCUCCAACUAAAAAGAGGAAGUGUAUGUCUAUUAUAGAGGUACUCACAAUACAAUUUUACCUUUAUAAAUAUUUUUAGGUUUAAAUACUAUUUGAUUUUCCUUACUUUUAAUUUUUUGGUUAUUUAUCUCUAUUUUCAAAACGUUCAUUUUUAUUUCUACAGUUUCAAACUUAGUUUAUUUUCAUCCUUGUACCCAAAAAGUGACCAUUUUGUCUCAUUUGUUGAAGGACUAAAAUGAAUUAAUGUAUAAAAUAUCAUUCGAAAAGUAUAAGAGCAAAAAAUGAAUCAAAACUAAAAGUAAAGAACAUUGAUAUGGUAUAGUAAUUCUAAAGUUCUAACUUGACAAAUAAAAAACUAUCCUUCCUAGAAAGAAGGUGACAAAUAGUAAAUGGAAGGAGAAUUGUGACAAAUAAUUCAAAAGAUUUAAGUUGAGAAGAUAAUUAUUAUAUGAAAGAGUGAUUGGAAAUUACCGAAUCAUAGGUGAGUUUUUUACCCAAUUUGACUCAACUUGAGACCAAAACCCCCAAAUUAAUUUGUAACAAGGCUUGAUGGUUUUCUUCCACAACCAAAGCCAAAUCCAUCAAUGAAUAGAAUGACACAUUUUUCUGCGUCCAAUUCAGCCUCUUCCAAAACCUAAACUUGGACUUUCCUCUUCUAUCUUUUAUCUAUUGUACAGCACUACCAACAUUUUUGCCUAGAUCAAGCUGUCAGACACUUCUUAAAUGGCUUCUUUCGCAUUCGUGAAUAAUUUUGAAAUUCAUUCCAUCAAUAAUUUAAUUUCCCCCCACCAAUAAAUAAAAAAAUCUCUAUAAUUAGCCUAUAAAAUUUAAGCCUUUAUUGGUCUCACUAAUACGAGCAUAUAUAUAGCUGCUCAAUUAAUAUAUAAAUGUAUUAGCAAAUAAUUUGUUUUUGGUAUGAAUCUUCCGCAUUUAAUUGUGCUACAAAAGGUUCGGUUUCGCUCUAAAGUUCAAAAUAUGUUGGGUUAAGUUUUUAUUUUUAAGGGAACCAUCUUGUUUUACUUUUAAGGGAAAAUUGCAAACACUACCUUCGAAAUGAAAUAUGGUAGUAGUUGCAACGAACCCUUAAAUUUACAAUUGUAAAAAUUAAACUCUUAAACUUACCUAAGUUAAAAUUUUAACCCAAAGACUUACAAUAAUGGUAGAAAUAAGACCUCCGAAAUAAAAUUAAAAAAAAUUAAACCUUCAAGUUUAUACAAUUUCUAACAUUAUAUAAGUUUGAGGGUCAAUUUUAACAAUCCUACAAUUAUAUAAGUUUGAAGAUCAAUUUUACAAUUAAAAGCUUAAGAGUAUAAUUGCAAGUACCACAUCUAUUAUUAAAAAAAGGUUUUUUAAAAACUCUGAGGAAAGUGACAAGAGGACGUAAGAUGAAAAAAAAAGAUUUGUUUUUAAAGGAAAAAAAUCCACGCAAUAUAUAAAUGAUAUAAAAUUAUCAAACAAGAGAUUCUAUGAGUGAAAUAGGAUUUGAAGGAACAUGAGAUGUAAGCGUACCGUUUCUCCUUAGCUCUAAUCAUCGUUUCGUUUCUUUCCUUUUCUCGUAUACGAUACGAUGCUGUUCAUCACGAUAUGCAAUGCUCCCAAUUUAUGAAAAGUUAAAAGGAAAAAAAGGUUAAUGAUAAUGAUAAUCAGCAAUAUAAUGUAUUUUCUUAAAGGAAAAGGAAUUAAACAAAAGGAAGACAGUUGCAUGGGGAUAAGGCCCCACCCCUCUGGUUGAUACGUAUGUUAUGAGUAAUUUAUUUAUAUUCAAGCAAGAAACCUACCAAACCAAGAAACUAAUGGCUUCAAAUUCCAGCUUUUUCUUUAAAAAAAAACACUCAAAUUUAGAUCCUACAGCUCAGCCACAUGAACAGCAUUUUCAGAUCCAUAACAUUUCAGGAAAAAUUAUAUUGUUUCUUCAUGUUCAAGUUGAAUUAUUCAAUUUAAGGAAGUAUCUACCAAUCAAUCAAUCAAAAUUUCACAUUACACUUACAAUGUAAUAUGCUAACCACUCUAGUUUCUAAGGAAAAAUAACAUCAAACAAGCAAGCAAGUAAACAAACAAAAAUAAAACAAAAAUAUUAGGUACAACCAACUAGAGGAAAGUUGUCAAUCAAAAUUGUUUAAUUCCUUAAAUCAUAUGUAUUUGAUUGAUGAGAGAUCUGCCAACAAGAGCUUUAGUUCAAUUGACACUUGUGUAUAUCCGAGAAAAAGAGGUUUUGGGUUCAAAUCUUCUCACCCCCAAUUGGCACUCCUAACUUGUGUUUUGUUAGUUGGUAUAAGAUGUGUCCCUUCUAUUGUACGAUAAAACUUGGACUACUUAUAAGUCUUUUAUCAAACUAAAUAGACUAAAUUCUAUACGUCUCCCUACUAUAUAAAUAAAUUUACAAUUAAACCUUUCUAUAAACUCAUCUAUUGGAGGUCAGGGUUAAAAAUGAUAUAAGUGUUUUAUCAAACUAAAUAGACUAAAUUCUAUACGACUCCCUACUAUAUAAAUAAUUUUACAAUUAAACAUUUCUACAAACUCAUCUAUUGGGGUCAGGGUUAAAAAUGAAAUGCGAAAAAGUAAAAAAAAAAGUAAGGGUUCAAUAACGGAAUGAUUAAAGGUAAAAACUACUUACUACCAUCUGUGUAUGAAUAGAGCACAGCAAUGAUCCAUGAAAUAAAAGAUCACAAGGCAUGCUCUACGGACAAUAUUUUGAAGGCCUUGUGGUCUGCCACUAACUUUGCCGUCAAACGGGGAAAAGAUGCUUACUUUAGCCUGAAAAGUUCGACCACUCAUAAAAAAUUAUUACCUUCCUUAAGUUUCAUCUUUUGUAAUGUUUUAUGAGAAGAUUCUAUUCCAUCACAUGAAAGUAAUAUUUUUAAAUGCAAUGUUUUCGUUUAUAAAAUACAAAUUUCGUACUUGUGAAAAGAAAUUGAAAAUUGUUAAAAUUAGUUAAAAAUAAUUUCAUUAAUUUACAAGAAUAGUCAAAUACACACUCUAAAUCUAACCUGUUAAUCUUGCACUUUUAUCUUCCUCCUGGCAUAAAGAUGUCAAAUCUGAAACUAUAUAUAAAAAAAAGACAGAACUUUACAAAAAAUUUCACAAGAAAACUACACUUUUGAUAGCUAAAAAGCUAUAGUGGGGAGUUUAUGCCUUUAAUUCUAUUAAGGACUCAAUGGAGGAAAAAGGCAGAGAGACGUUAAAGAAAAGUGUUGAGAAAAUUAUAAAGAAGAGUUUAGGUACGGAAAGGAAUUAGUCUGAAAUAAUUGGAAGUGUUAAUCACAAUGUGAGGAGUUUGUCACAGGAACAAUUGGAAGGGUCAAGGGGAAUAGGAAUACUAGGAGCAUUGAAAUUUUGCGAAUGUAUAGAAUCUAUCCCUAUCAUGGUAAAUCAAAUAAUUUCUUUCUAGCCAUAAACUCCAAGUAAUUGCUUUAACAGUAUUCCUUCAUAUAAUCUCUGUAUUUCCUUUGGACUUGGUUCCAGACAGAAGCUGUAUCAAAUUAUCCUCAACAGUGAAAUAAAAAGCCUAAGCGAAGUCAAAAGAAAGGUAAAGAGCUCUCUGAUGCUAGAGGGAAAAGAAAUAGUAAAUGGAUCGGCGUUUCCCCUACUUUCCUACAUAAAGAAGCAUCAAUUGGUUGUAAUGUCAUAAUGCACAACGUCCUUGCAAUCUCUCGAUUGAUUUAGCUCUUCAAGAGUCAAUAAACAUAGCCCAAAAGAAAAUUUAAACAUUUUUCAGUACUCCCCAACUUUCCAAAUUGAGAGUACUAGUUUUUGGAGUAGCAAGGAAAUGGUAGCUGUUAAUCUUGAGUCGAAAGCAAACUGAUGAAAGAUAACCUUCUUAUGUCACCUCCUCUCUUAGGGCAUAUUUCAACCAACAGCUCCAAAAGGCCGCAGAAUUCCUUAAUCACCAACUUACUCAGAUUCCUCCUGUCAAAAUUUUAGGAUGUAGUAGUCUUCUUCCAGAACUACGUAAUGUAGCAUAAAGUGCGCUAAGCAGAACCAGAAGGAAACUCUCCAUUAAAUGUCUGUUACUAACAACCCUUAUUACCUUUUCCAACAACAUGUAUUAAUGCAAUUUUCAAAACUGACAGAGGAAAUGUGUUCCAAUAUGCUUUUAGAUUUUGAAAUUUUCCACUGAGGGCAAUGGCUGCUUCCUACCUUUCUUCUGUUAUCUUGUUCCUCUCUUUCCCGUACAAGCUAGGGAAUAUGAGAUUACUAGGUGUCAUGACUUAUUCGGUUCAUUGAUGAGCUUCAGAACCACUAACAAAAAAAGCUAACUUUAUUUUUGGAAAAACGCACUCCAGUAGACCAUAUAUGAUGGGUAGCUAUUCCCACCUUAUGAACAUUCCCUAAGAGAAGUCGCCAGGAAGAUCGAAAUUGGAAGAUAGAUAUAAAGAAUGUAAAUCAGCUAUCCAAUAUUAUGUUUGAAAAUGUCAAUCGUCAUACAGCGAUAAUUUUGCAAUGCGAUUGGAAGGGCAAUCUCUUUUGCACAUUCAAAAACUUGGGAAGGCAAUAAAGAACUCCAUUCAAAUGAUGGAAAAGGGAGAAUCAGCUUGACGUAGCUACAAUUAUUAAAUACAAUUAACUUCAAGAAUUAAACACGAUGAUUAAAAGACCCUUGAGCAUUCACUGGUCCACUAUAAAUCCACAAAUAGUAGAGAUAGAACGUGGAACUCACAUGUUUCGUGAUUCCCAAAUGUAGCAUGUUUCUAAUUGAGCAAAAUCCAACUUUGGAGUGUCUUCACUUUGCUGACUUUAUCCAGCUAAUUGAUUGCUCAAUAUGAUGAUGGAUCAUAAUAAUCUGACAAUGUGAAAAAAUUGAGGAAUAUGUCAGAAUGUAGCACAAUUAUUUGAUGGGCAAAAGGUUUCUGGUGUGAAAACGUAUUAAAAUAAUUUGACUAGAAACUCAUAGUAAAAAAAAAUUAUCUGGAAAUGUAAGGUUGAAAAGCUUCACGAAUGGUCAAUUCGUUACAUGUGCAGCACCUUAUGAGGAAGACCACUAUUUGCUGUACAGUAUUCAAGAGCCUUCUAGUGAGUUUCAUAUUAUAUGAAUAAUUCAUGAUACAGCUUUAAGGUAAUAAAUUCUAUUGGCACAAUAAAUUUUCAGAAAAGACAAAUUAACCAACCUCAUGCGCAAAUGUGCUGCUUGCCAACAUCUUGAGAAUUCAACCAUGAAGCUUCAAUUCUAAGUCUCUACUAGACCAUUCCUUUGUUCCCCAUCUUCCUCUUUGAAUGAUCUUAUUACAAGAUGAAUUACAGUCUGAGUUAUUUGGCAAGUCCUUGUGCUUUCAAUAAAUUGUGGCUUAAGAAAGUAAAUAUUUAUAAGUUACAUGUGGGAGUCAUCAUUCAAAUCAGAAGCAGUCUUGUCAAACUUAGUUAACAACCUUUUAACGGUUCAACAACAUUGUUGGUUGAGAUGGUUUUGAUGCAUACAUUCCAAAAGGUUUCACCAGACUCCUAUAUCACUUUCAGCAUCUGCGUGUGCUGUAAACACUUCAUCCUUUUCAGAUAGAACUUUCAAAAAUGUUUUUGAGAGUACACAAUCAUUUGUGAUUGAUAAAUUGUUUCCGAUUAGUUCAGCGUUGUCUACAAAUGGAAUUCCAGAGCAAUGAUAAAUAGGUCAUGAUGUAUUUCCAUGAUCUCCUGUUUGGAGUUUGGAGAGCCAUUUUCUUUCUUGUAACUUUUUCCAUUUUCUGGAAACUGACAUUUAAUACUGCUACCUCUGAUUGCAUCUUUUCAAUAUGUCAAAAUUCUUCAUAGCAGCUGGUAUAUGUAUUGCUUCAUCCUUUUCAUCUCCCAUGGCAAAUGCUACUUUCCAUCAUUUAAAGGUAUUGUGUGAAUCCUGUUAAUACUUUUAUCUUCUCUAAUUCCAUACUUCAUCAUCAAGGAAGAAUCAUCUGAUGGAAUUUUGGGGAAACAAAAAUUGAUAUUUCAUACAUUCUGAUGCCACGUUAAUAAAGGACCUGUUCAGAAGAUGAUAUUAUCCCACAUUUCAGUACUCUUUUUCUUUUUCUGAAAAGUGUCACCCUGAUACCAGCAUCAUCUUUCUGCAUCACUUUCAUAUAAUAUCAACACACAUGUUUGCUCGUACCCCUUAGGUCUUCUGAUCUCUUCUGCUAUGUAUUUCAUGGGAGGAAUCUCCAAGAAAACAGACUUUUCCACUAAACAGAUUCUAUAGCCACUUUUAGAAGGUUCUAAUUCUGUGCUUCUUUUAAUGAAGGAAAAAUCAGUAUCACUGGUACAUUGUUUAGGCUUACACUUUCCUGACAUGUCCAUUUCCCAGAUGACGAGCUGUUGUUCCAGAUGAGAACCAUAACGGUGGACUCACCAUGACAGCAUGACUAAGAGAGUCCUGAGGCCGCAAUGACAUACAUAUCUUAGUAGCCAUAUUUUUGCUAAAUUUUUUCAUUUAGUUUCUUAUUUCCUGUUCGUUACUUUAUCCAAUUUAUCCUGAUCUUCACGCAACUCUUACCAUAUCUUCCUUCACUACAUAUUAUGCUUCAAUUUUGAGCCCAAAGUUAUUCAUCUCGCUUUCUCUAACCUGCAAUUGCAGAAAAAUACAACUCAACGGUUGUGUUGAUCACACAAAGAAAAAUUUAGCUGAAGAUAAACCUAAAGGUUUGAACUAUAAAUUUAGAAUCGUUUGAGUUAUAAGAUAAUGUUGUCAUUGGCUCAGAAUGUAGCAAUCUACUGAAAUUACAAACGGUUGCAGAGCCAUAAUGUGAGUAAAUCAUUAUGUGUAAGUGUUAGAUUACAACAUGAGGAUCACAAGAUCACACGAUGACAGGUGAUAAACAGUCUCCUCUAUACAAACACACAGGGUAGAAGAUGAAAGCAACAGAAACUCCGAACCAAAAUUUCACCAAAUCAACAUCACAAAAUGAAGUCGAUAACGAUUUAUAUAAAUAUUUGCUUCAGUUACCAAAUACAAUCCCUAAAAAUCACAAAAUAACAUAGAUAUGUCCAAAACACUAGACGUGAUCAAAGAAUCAACAGAUUCCACCAUUCUACUUACUAUUCAUUCUUCGUUAAGCGUCUAACAAGCAUCCGAAGUGCUUCAUCCUGAUUCGUGCAAACUCUCCAAUCGAAACCGAAAACCUUCCAUCUUCGAAAUCAUUACUACGCCACUGAUUCUUUGGCCGCAUCGCGGUGUACAUCCGCAUAGGCCUUCUUCAAUGUCGUCCAUAUCUAAACAUCCAUUAACCAAGAAGAUUAAACUUAAAAAAUGAGAAGCAGAAUCAAAGGCGAAGGAAAUAUGCAAGGUUCUUCUUAAUUGAAACGAUUUACGGACAUACCUCCGGAAUCGCUCAUUGUCGAGACCUUUACAGAAAUGAAUUGAGAAGAUAACUGACGAAGAAAGAGAAGCCGAAUAUGAAAAUUUGAGAAGCGGAUCAAAUCCUUCUCCUUUUCGUAAUUUUACUAUAUUACCCUUAGAGAUCUCAUAAUGACGUGCUCACGGGGACCCUAAAACCGGUAAUUCGCACUCUUUUCUGCUUUUUGGCGCGGGGCGCGCGCCAUGAGAUUUCCUCCACCUGCUGCCGUUGGAUCGUUGAUUCGGUUAAAGUUUACUAACACGUGCGAUACCUACAACUGUUAUCUGAAAGCUUUAAAAAGUUGAAAUCUUAGUAUUUAUUAUGUAUAUUUUUCAAAACAUUGUGAUUCAAAAUUAAAGAAAAGAAAAUUGAAAAAUAAACUUUUGAGAAAAAAAACUUUCCAUAAUUUUUUAAAACUUAUAAAUUUGAUUGUCAGAGUUAGAAAAAAUUAACAAACUAUUUAUCCUAAAAGAUAAAAUUUAUUACUUUCCAUUUCUAAAGUAUGAUUAUUUUGUAAAAUUUUUUGUUUUUAUAAUUUGUCUUUUAGUUCAAGAAAAAUAAACUAUACAUUAUGAAAAUAGUGAUUAUAUAAGUUAAGCAUUAUUUUUAAACAUUGAAUUUUGACAUGUGAGAUGAAAAAUCAAACAUCUUACCCCAAAGUUGAAGAUAUAUAUUUUGUAUGUUAAUUGAAAUAUGUUUGUUAUUUAAAAAAAAAUAUUAUGAUAAAUAGCAACAAAGUAAAAAUAUUUAUAAAAUAUAUCAAAAUUUCAAAUUCUAUCUUAUGUUUCAUCGACAAAGUCUAAAAUUUUAGAUCAUUUUUUUAUAUAUAAAAGUUCCUUUGUUUUCUUUUUUCUCUUGUAUUUUAAAAUUUUCACAAGUUCAUUUUUUAACUAUUGAAUAUGUGAUAUAAUAUCGUGAUAACUAAAUAAAUCAUACCCUACGACAUAAAAAAGUUACUCUAAACUAAUUGUAGAUAUUAUAUUUAAAGAUUGUGAAAUUGAAAUUAAAACUAACCAACAAAGACAAAGAUAUUGUAAUAUAGUAAUACUAAAACAGUGGCAAAGCUUAACUCGAUUUACAUAUGUAUGUAUACUUAUUUUAGUUGAAUUAUGGUUCAAAAUCUUAACAUCUCAAUUUGUAUUCGAAAAACACGAUAAUAGUAUCAUACCUUUCUACCAUUUUUUUUUCUUUUUGUUUUGAGUAUUUAAAUAACAAGUUUUAUUUUACUAUUUUGACAUUUCAAUAUUUUAUCUUUUGUUUCAACUCUUCAAAUAACCCUAAUUGUUGACUCGUAGUCAAAGGUGUGAAAGUCUCGAAUUUGUUAAUUUAAAAUAACUAUACUAAAAAAGUACAAAUAAUUUAAAUGGAUGAAAUGAUGCACGAGAGAACUUCCCUCUUAUUUUAUUAUCCAACCAACUACUAGUACACAUCACACGUUAAUAUUAUAAAAAUAACACUUAUAACUUUUUGCACUCCCCUUUUGAUCGUACCAUCUUUUUCUUAAUGGAAAACUACUUUCUUUUUAUCAUCGAGUUUUGAUAAACGUAUACUUUUGAUCUCUUAGUUUUGAGAGCGAAUAUUUUUAAUUUACAAGUUUAUAACAAUAGAUCAAUUUAGUCAUCGAGUUUUCAAUACAUACAUUUUUAGUGAUUGAUUUUUGAAAAUAGUUUUAUAAGGUCCUAAAAAGUAUGUUAUGUUUGAUUUUUUUUUAAAAUAACUAUAUAAUAUUGAAAUUUUAAAAAAUAAGAUUUAGAAAGAGUACGAUUUUUAUUCUUCUAAUUUAAAACGUCAAAUAAUUAUUUGAAAUAAAAGUAUAAAGUUAUUUGAAAUGUUUUUUAAACAUAUUUUUUAAAAAAAAUCUCAGGGAUAAAAAAGAUACAUUUUGAAAACUCAACGAUCAAACGAGUCUAUUCUUAUAAAUUUAAAAUUUAAAAUAUUUGUUUUUAAAACUUAGGAAUCAAACAUACACAUUUUUCGAAGCCUAUGAAAUAAAAAAUAAAAAAUAUUACAAGCCAACAUAAAUUAUUAUCGUUAAAUAAAUACAUAUAGUAGUAGUGUAAGGCUAUUUAUAAUAGAUAAAUCGAAAUAUUUCAGUUAAUUUUUUAUUUUAUAUUUAAAAAUAACCAUAACAAAUUUAUAUUUAUUUGAAUUAAUCUUAACUUAAGCAUGCGUAUGGUCUAAUAUCCCUAAUAAUUUGGAUCGAAAGCAUAGAAGUUUUCGGAUGAUGAAAUUUAAAAUUGAUUUGAAUAGAUCUCUAAUCUAAUUAUAAAUAUGGAUUAAACUAAAAGUAAUAAAAUAAUUUUCAGGUGGUACGAUUUUUUUUGAAAGUUGGAAUAAAAAAUAAUUGAAGGUCAAGAAUUAAAUAUUCUGCCAACUGUAAAAGAUAAGAUAAGGACAUUAUAUGCAUAUUUAUUAUUAUUCUCAGUUUGUUUUCAUUUAUUUAUUUUGAAAGAAAGCUCCUUGAGAUUUGUGAAGGGAUACCAAAUUUUGAUGGAUUGGGAGUUCAAACAUUAUAUUAUAAUUAUUGAUUGAUUUUAUUAAACUUUGUUUGAGUUUUUAGUUGUACCUAUUAAAUAUGAGGUAUUUUUAAAAAUGGUAAAAUAAAUUAAAAUGUUUAUGAAUUAUAACAAAAUUUUGAAUUAUGUCACUCAAAUUAUUAAUGAUUAUAGAGUUUGUUAUAAGUUCUAAAUAUUUUAUAAAUUUUGUUAUUUUUUAAAAUUCUCCAUUCAACAACGUUUGUUGUUAGCUAUGUUAAUUAAUAAAAUAUUUGUUAGAAAGUAGCACUCUAUUGAUAUGAGAAACUUUCGUUUCUAUUUAUUUUAUGGAAAAUUGGAUUAGAUGACAAUUUUUUUUAAAAAAAAGAACGGUUCAUAACAUUGUUUUUUAUAUUAUAAAUUUGAUAAAUAUGACAGUAAUCUACCUUUAAAUUUAUUAUUUUGAAAAUUUAAAAUAUAAAUGAUAUAUCCUCGUUUUUUUGGCUUACAAACUCUCUUUAUUUUAUUUUAUAAACAAAUUAUUUAUUUAUUAUUUUGAGUCAAAAAGUUCCUCUUUCUUUUGUCUAGAAUUAUGUAGAGUUGAUCUACGUGGCACCCUCAAUGUAUUUUAAAAAUGGAGAAAUUAAAACUAUUUCAAAAUUCAAAUCUCCAGUAAAUGUUUCGGUUUUCUCUCCUACUUAUUAUUUGCUACCAUUAUCACUAUCUAUUGUUUUUAUUUAAAAAAUAGUUUUAGGGUUUUUUUUAAAUAAAACAAUUUAAUAUAAUUUUAAAAUUUUAAAAUAUUUAUAAGAAUGAUAAAAUAUUAAAAUCUAUCAUUAUUGUUAUCGGUUGUUGAUAGGAAAGUGUCUAUCAUAAUAGAUAUAGACAUAAAUAGUAGUUUAUUAUUUUUUGUCUUAGAUAGAUAAUGAUAUUUUACUAUAUUUUAAAAUAUUUAUUAUUUUUUUGUACUAUAUUCUAUUAAUUUAAUUUAAAUUAUGUACCAAAGUGAUCUAUAAAUGAUAUUGUUCUCCUUUCAAUUGUUUGUUUAACCUAGAGAUCGCAUCAUUUCAUUGUGAAAGCGAAUAAAUGAUAUAGUUCUCUAUUGACAUAAUACAAUAUUUGUUUCUUGAAUUCUCCAAUAUUCCAAUUGUACAAUAAAAUAACAACAUUUUGAUCAAGGUAACUUAACUAUUAAGUUUAGUAAAAUACUUUUUAAAAAAUUAACAAGAAUUAAAGUUUAAUAGGUUUAAAUGUUUGAUUACUUCACUUUAAACAAAAUUAAAUUUGUAUUUAUUUAUCUACCUUAUGUGCUAAUUAAAAAUCUCACACAUUUUCUUUAUUAAAAUCUUAAAUCUACCUACUUUCAUUGUUUUAAAAAAUGUACUUCCAUUUAAUAUUUUGGAAAAUAAUUAUCUUUUUAUGUUAACAUCUAUUACAUUUUAUUUACAAAUAGAAAGGAAAAAAAGAAGUAAAGUUCGAGAAAGAGAGAAUUAAUGAGAGCGACAUGUGAGCAAAUUGAAGGGCGUAGCAGCGGCCACCAUACACCACCAUUAUUUUUAUUAUGUAAUGCCAUAUAUCAAAUCCCUACAAUUUCUCCACCCAAGUUUUUUUUUCUUUCUAAAAAAUCCUUUCAAUUUCACUUCCAUUUGAUUUAAAUGGAAUAUGCCAAAACCAAACCCACCCUCCAUACAAAAAAAUAAAAAAAAUAAAUUGACAUGUAUAAAAAUAUGUAAAAUAAAUUAUCAUCAAAAGUAUUAACAGUAGUUUGUUAAUUACAAAAUUGAAAAUUUAGAGAUAAAAAGAAUUUAUAGAUAUAGACAAAAACUUGUAAUUUGUCCCAACUAAAAAUGGUAAUAAGAAUUAAAAUGAUAGGUUUUUCUUUCGUAGACAAAUUUACCUCAAUUUUUUUAAGCUUUUUUUUUUUUGUUACAUAUGAAACACUAAGUAUUGCAUUAUUAGAGUCCACUGCAAAGAAGUGUAGAUAUAUGUAUAUGUAUAUAUAUGGAAAGAAUAGACAAGAGAUGAAAAUCUCCCUACCGAUCAGUGAUAGGUGAAUGAUAGAAAUUUUUUUAGAUCAAAACCUUACCUUUUUUCGAUCUUUUUACUUAGAUUUCGAAAAAGGAGAGGAUGAAAUUGUCCACAACAACGAACCAUAUGUAUAUACUUUUUCAUAAGAAAAAUGUCACUUGCUUCUAUACAAGUUGGGAUUGAAGUGGGAAAAAAUAUCUUAUAUAAAUCAAAUCAAAUGGAAGGAUCAAAUUCAUAUAGAAAUUAUUUUGUUGUUUUAUUCUUUUACAUAAUUGAAGCUUAGAAAGAACAAAGGGUCAAUUCUAUUUGAUAUUGAUUAAAAAUAAAAAAAAAAAGUUAAAAAGCAACUCAAUUUACUCCACUAGAAAUAUACAAUAAAUUAUAUAAAUUAAAAUUUGUCGUUAGAUUAGUAAGGUCCAUUUCUAACUCUGUAAUUAAAAUUCGCAUUAUGAUUUAAAUGUGUGGAUGAUACUUAACUUGAUUGUAAUUGAAAAUUAUGUAAGAAGAAUCUUAUCGUUAUUAUUACCAUUACCAUUACCGAUUGAUCAUAAAUAAUAAAAAUAAGAAAACAAGUUACCGUUUGCAAAAUGUUCAAGUAAAUGUUGUUAAAAUUAAUCCGUUUAUGUUUGCAAUAAAUACCUAUUAUUACAAUUCAUCUAUCAAUACAAUCUGUUUUCAUUACUAAUUGGAUAAACAUAAAUGUAUAAAUAGUUAAAACUGUUAAAAGUCGUUAAAAUAGAUUUAGACUAUUAUUAUUUAACAAAACUGCAUCAAUAAUUCUCUAAAAUCAUUAAGGAAUUUUUCACUUGUCCAUAGUAAGUUUUUAGAACUUAUUUGGUAAAAAUUUUGAGAACAAAAGUUCAAUAAAGACGUAUUUGUUGGGUUCUAUUUAUACAUAAUUACAUUUUUGAAAAUACAAAUUCAAAUUUUGCAUACCAAAUUAGAAACAAAAAUAUGAUAUGGACUGCCUACUAAAAGCAUACGUGAUUAAUUCAUUAUAUAUAAAACACAUAAAACAAGACUUGAAUUUUAUACCAAAUCUCUCAUUCCGUUUCUUUUACAAUGUAUUACGUACAAAAUCAACGGUUAUAUUUUUAUUAGAUACACAAAUAAUUUUUAAAUAUUUUUAGAUAUAAUACUUAUACUAAUUUUUUAAAAAAAAGUUUAUGGACAUUUUACACUUAAACAUGAAAAAUGAAGUAUAAACUUAGUCAAAAUAGGAAAAGUUAGACAUUGAUAAAAAGAUAAAAUUGUCUACCAUCAUUGUAAAAUUGAAAGUAUCUUUUUAAAUAUUUGUAUGGGUUACCUUAUACCUUUUGAAUUAUAUAUUCAAUCUCAUCCAUCAUUCUUGUUAAUGGUGUUAAUUUUUUGGGAAAUAAUAAUAUAUUGACUACUUUAUUUGGUCAAGCUACAACUCCUAUCAUUACAUUUUAUUCUCUUUUAACAAUGUUUGCACAAUUCAAUUUUAAAAACGAAAUAUAUUUAAAUAUAAUAAAAUAAACUAAAAUAUUUAUAAAAUAUCGUAAAAUUUAAAUAAUUAAUUACAUUGAUAGAAUAUAAAAAUUUGUAAAUACUUUUAACAUAUUUACAGUAUUUUUGUAGUACAUUAAAGUAAGUUUUGUUAAAUGAUAUAUAAUAAAAACGAUAGUUAUAGUUGUACAUAGAAAGUUCUAACAAAUAGAAACUGAAUAAUUAAUUUAUUAGAAAACGGUAAAAUAUUUUUCAUAAACCAACGUGGUACAUAGAUUCAGUUCGUAUGAGUUUAUCGUGACAAAAUAUAUAAUUGGUAAUUUUUUAUAUAGUUGUUAUUCUUUUGAAAUUUCACCUUCACUUAAUUAUUAAUCCUUAAAGUAAUAUGUAUUGUAAUUCAGUCCAAUAUAUGAAAUUUACAACAUGAUACAAAAUAAUUUGUAAGUGUGGACAAAUUUAGACUUAGCUUUAAACUCUUCAAUUAUACUAGUAUGUGAUUAAUAAAUAAUAUUUUCAUACAUUUUGAUAUGAGAAAUUAUGGUAAAUAAUAAAAUUGUAAAAAUUAUUAAUAAAAUUUCAUAUUCUAUUAAAGAUAUUGUUAAUGCAUUAAUAUUAUUGAUAAAAUAUAAAAUUUUGCUAUAUUUUGUAAAUAUUUCGAUUCAAAUUAUGCUAUAUUUGAAAAUACAUCUUUAACUAUAAACCUUCAAGUUUUUAUUUAUCAUUACCUAAUUUGUAAGAGUUAAAGUUAAAAAUAUAUAGAAAAAAAACUAACAUACACCCAAAUAAUUAUAAAGCAAUUUCGAAAAACCAAAAAAGUUCAUUGACCCACAAAAAAAUAACACACAUAACACGAUAUUGUACUAAAUUGACAAAUAUUGUUUAGAUUUUCCUACCCAAAUAUAAACUAUUUUUUAAAAGAUUAUUUGUUACUGGAUUUGGCUACCUAAUAUCUAAACGGACAUUCCAACAAAAAAAAAAAAUGAAAAAUGAAAAAUAAAAGAGAAAAAAAAGGCAAAACAUGAAAUAUUAAAAAUAGUAUAAAUGAUAAAAUAUAUUGAACAUUUUUUAAAAUAAUAAAAUAAAUUAAAAUAUUUACCCACUAAAAUAAAUUUUUGAAUUUUAUUACUAAUAGUCUUCUAUCACAUUAGUAUAACAUAUCAUACUAUACGUUAUAUAAUUUAUUAUAAGUUGUAAAUAUAUCGUAAAAUUUGUUAUUUUAAAAAAAUUUCAAAAUAUUCAGCCAUUUUUGUUUUGUCAAGAAGGAAAAAUAGUUUGUUUGUUCUUUUAAUUAUUAUUACCGUGAAAAAAUCCAUGGUAAUAAAGUAGUAUUUAAACCAUCACAGUAUAAGGAGUAAAUAAACUAUGUUAAAUUCAAACGGAAGAAAAUUUAUAGUUUAAGUUUAAGCGGAAAAAAAAUUGACCUUGAUUUACUCAAAAGAAAUAUAUAUAUAUAUAAAAGAAAAUAAAAUUACCACGUUUUAUCUUGAGGCGUGUCUGCACCGACCUCCACGUGCCGCGUGUGUCAUCUUUUUGUUCUCCUUCUUCUAUAUAUACACACAUGCUUCUCUCUAAAAUAUCCUUCUUCUUCCAUAUCCGCCACGUUUCCUUCUCCACUUGUAUGCUUUUCCAAACCCCUUUCACCCUCGCCGUUUCCGCCUCCUUCUUCGUCUUCGUCCUUCUCUCCACCUGAUCAUGCGGAGCACCUCUGCUGCUGUCAACGAAUCCGCCGCCGCCGAGACCGGUGGCGGCAGUCCAGGUGAGAUCAUGCUGUUUGGUGUCAGAGUGGUGGUGGAUUCGAUGAGGAAGAGUGUGAGUUUGAACAAUCUGUCUCAGUAUGAACAACCUCAUGAUGCUACCGAUGUAAUCGUAAACGACAAUAAUAAGAACGACCUUGUUUCCGUCAAUAACAAAGACGAUGUUGCCGCUGGUUAUGCUUCUGCGGAUGAUGCUGUUCCCAACGCCCGAGGGAACCGCGAACGUGAGCGCAAGCGAGGUUCGAUCGGCAUCGGAUCUCCGAUCGCCUUUGAUUUCUGUUUCUCUUAUUGAUUCGUUUUAAUUUCUUCUAGUUUCUGAUUCUUUUUUUGCCUCCUGAUUUCUUUAGAUUCAAUUUUCGAUCUAUUUAAUUUAGUAGAGUAGCUCCGUUUUAUGAUCGGAACGUACGGAAAGAAACUAGAGUUUGGCUUUUGAAUUUCUGUGUUUGUGUUGAUAAAAUAGGUGUGCCUUGGACUGAGGAAGAACACAAGCUGUUUUUAAUUGGACUACAACAAGUAGGAAAGGGGGAUUGGAGAGGAAUCUCUAGGAACUUUGUUAAGACUCGCACUCCAACUCAGGUCGCUAGCCACGCUCAGAAGUACUUUCUCCGCCGGAGCAAUCUUAAUCGCCGUCGCCGUAGAUCUAGUCUUUUCGAUAUCACGACGGACACGGUAACUCACUAAUACUUUUUCUAAUCAAUUACUAUAUGCUAUUUGUUUGAUUGUUGAAUCUGAUUACGGAAUAGGGAUCUUAAUCCCUAACUUUUCAACAAUCAAGUUUAACUUGGUUGUCAAUUAGGACUCAACUAAUUAGGUUUGUGAUUGACAAAAUCCAUGAUGAAUUACUCUCUAUGAUGAUGGAUCUAAGUUUCUAUUUCAGUCUUACAUUUUCUUAGGCAGACGUUGACCUUUAAAAGACCAAAUUGCUUAAAUGAUUUCAUAUUUCUAGCUUCUGCUCUUUAAUUGACCAAUAAAAGACUUGACUUAUGCAUCUCAAAAUUUCUAUCAUGUCGCUCACCAACCCCCAAAAGUUUGAAUUUCAAGAUGAACUCUGAUUUUUAUUUCUUUUUCUUUGCUUUUGUUAGGUCACGGCUGCUCCAAUGGUUGAAGAACCCUUGCAGCGUAAAGAAAUUCCCUCUCAAUCCCAUUCCUUCACUCCAUCAACCUUACCUGAAAUUUCUAAAAACAACGCAAUCCCAAUAAUACAAACUUUACCAGUUUCAUUUGGGCCAACACCAUUAGCCACCCCAACCAAGAAUCUAAUAGAAAACUGUGGUCCUAGAGAAGUAAACACAGAAAAUGAUGGAUCACUAAAGCUCGCCCUUUCUGAUUCGAUCUUUUCCUCUAAUCAAAUACGAAAUGAAUCACCAUCAUCAUCAUCAUCAUCAGCUUUAUCCCUUCGCCUUUCCUUAACAUCUGACCAAAGAGAAACUUCAUCAAGACAUUCAACUUUCCAACCCAUCCCAAGUUUCAAUAAUGGUGAUGGGAUCAUAAGUGCUGCAUAAUGAAAAAUUUACAGAUCUGAGAGGAAGAAAGAAGAAGAAGAAGAAGAAGAAAUUAUUAACAAUUAGAGACGACAGAAGUUAUUAGGUGACUGAAUCUGAUCUGAUCCAAUCAUGUUUUUUGAUGGCAUCUAUGUAAAAUCUAGAUUCUUCUUGAUGAUUUGCUGUUGUUGUCGGUAGCUGGGUACUGACUGAAAAUAAUGAAUGACUAAACUAUUCUGUCUCUGUGUUAGAAAUGAAUUUAGUUUGAAGGAAAGAAUAUCCAAGUUGGAUAAAAUGGGUGGUGGUUGUUGUUGCAAUAUUGUGAAAAGGAAAGAAAGGGAGGGGGGAAAAAGGAGGUAAAAUUCCCCCUUGUUUUUGUGUAUGAUGUACCAUUAAAAUUUUUGUCAACCUUUGAAAGGAAUCACUGAUGUCUCUCUUCUCUGUCCUAUCGUUUUUAAGUGAUCAUCUGAUCUCUUUCUUUCUCUCCAAUAAUAUGGUUAUUGGUCAGUAUUUUGGGGCCUUGCAUUUUAUAUGUGGUUUGAGGUUCUCCUCCUCUUAUCUUCCAUACCCUUCUUUUUAUCUCAUCAACAUUUAUGCAAUAGAUUCCAUCACUAGGGGAUCUAGAAAUUUGGUUAGAGGUGAGACUUGAACCUGAAUCUGAAUCUGAAGAUAAUAGAAAACAAGUUUACCACUUGGUAGGUUUCAUAUACUAUAUGACGAGGAUUAAGUUGAAGGAAUUUCGAACCCUCUCGACCUUACCUAAAUUUGUUUCUAAAAUAAGGGAAUGAAAAAUUAAAUUUGUUUCUAAAGUAAGGGAAUGAAAAAUUUGUUUCUAAAAAUAAAUUAUCACUACAUUUUUUAAAUUUGCAAGUAGAUAAUCUUUUUUAUAUACACAAUUAUUAAUUAUUUGUCAUAUUUGCAUCACACAAUUAUUAAUUACUAGUUCUAUUAAAUCCUUUUGGUAUGGUACACAAAUGAUAGAUGUAUUAAUGAUGUUUGAAUUUUUCUAUAGGAAUUAGGAGUUUUCUUCUCGGUAGAAAAAACCAACAAAUGAUAAAAUCGUUUAUCAUUCAUUACACUUUCUUCUAUCUAUAUACUAUUUUACUAUUUUUGACAGUUAUGGAAAUUAUAAUUAUGGCAGGAGUUGCAAUUAUUUGCAAAUAGCCCUUAAAUUUAUAUCAACAUAAAAAAAUAUAUAAAAAAAAUCCAUUUUUACAAUUACGUGAAUUUGUUUUGAGUAAUUUUGAGAAUUGGAAAAGAUUGAGGUCAAAUUUUUAAUUAGUGAAAGAGGUAUAAUUGAAAAUAUUCUAGGGACAUUUUAUGCAAUUUGUGCACCUAAAAUCUCUAUUUAUUAUUAGGGUUGUUUGAUGGAUAUAAUUAUUUUUGGAACAACGAAAACUUAUAAAUCAAUUAGAAGUAGAAAGAAAGAACCUUGUUGAAUAUAAAAUGAAAUCCCCACAGGCUUUGAUACUUCUUUUUGCAUGUGCCAUUGUCUUUCUUCCUGUACUUUUAAAAUCUAAUCUUGUUAUCUUUGAAAAUUUUCAAUUGUACCUUCCAUGACUUUGAAAAUGAAAUUAAAAUGUUAGCAUUACUUUAGAGGGAAUCUAUUCACUUAUUUGUUUGUUUUUUAUUUCCCUACAUGAGCUGUGAAUGUGAUGUGUUUAUUUUUCCUUUACCAUUAAUUUAUCGUUUCGAAUCUCAUCUUUCUGUGUUGAACAAAAUCCAUUUGCAUUUAUUAUGAUCUUUUUAUUUCUGUUUCCAUUUAAAUGGAAAAAAAAAGUUGUUUGUGAUUAGAUCUGUGCAUAUAAUUUCACACAUUAGAAAUUAGUCACUCCUAGCCCUUAAAUAAGAUUCUAAUAACCAAACCAUACAGAUUAAAAUUGCACUUUAACCUAAAGUUUCAACUGUAUCCCAAAAAGUCACCAACUUUUCAUUAUCCAAAACACAAUAAUUUACCCCAAGGAUGGAAUUAUUGUGAUAAAAAAGAAUGAACCUGUUAGAAAAAUAUACAAACAGGUGUGAGGGCAUGCAAAGACAUCAUCGUUGUUUGAAAAUUAUAGGUAUUGGUGUUCUAGCCACGGUGAACGAGUGGUACAACCUAUAGAACAGAUUGGUCCAAGUAAUGUCGUGCAGAAGCCAUUUUUCAGAAACAUGGAUGAUAACUGCAUAUAUGCUCGAUUUGAUGGAAUUCAAAAACAAUAAUGAUGAACCAAAGUGUAAAUCAACUUUCAUUAACACUUGAUAAGAGUAUUUGCAAAAUAAAAAAGUUAAAAAACAGUACUUUUGAUCACAGGAGAGACAGAGAGAACUUGGGAAGUCUAGAAGAAGUCACAUUGAAUUAACACAAGCAUUUGAAAGUAUCUGAAAGAUUGCCAGUCACUGAAUUGUGAAACAAGCAAUAAUUUAAUGGCAGUAUAGGACUCAUGUACAGUUGCAUUUACCAGUAUAUAGUGAAAACAUCAUGAUCAGCAAUUCUAUCCAGAUGAUGAAAGCCAAAGGUUAGGAGCAACAUAACUAUAUCCCUGGAAGUGUCCACCAUCUGUUGGGGUCGGAGCUGGUGAGUCGUCAGGGGGCAUUGCUGUCCAACAGUGAUCGAAAUUUGCUGUGCAGUCAUUCCCACUGACAUCCGGUUUGAAUUUCGGUUGCAGCUCCCUACACUCCAAUUUCUUCCAGUUCACAGGUCGAAACCAUUUAUGGUUUUUUAUCUCGUCUCCUCCCUUCGGUCCACUACCUAAUCUUUUAGAAGGCUCCUUUUCUAGCAGCUGUGAAGAACAAUUCCUGUUAUUAUUUAUGAUUGUCGUGGAAAUAAAGAUGACAACAAAUGAAAAUGGAGUUCUUAGUUUACCCCUCUGAGCAAAGAGUGAGCUUCAGUGCUUAGGUAUGGUGGAAGCUUCACUUUCUCUUUGAUUAUUCUUUCUUGAAGCUUCUUUCUAUUGGUGUGUGUGAAUGGUGGCUGCAAAUAGUCGAGAAGAAAGACAGUAAUAACAAGUAACUGUUAACCAUCGGCAGAUCGCUAGGAUGAAGAACACAAGCAUUAGAUUGAUAAAUUCAACCAACAGUUGUAGCAUUGGACUCUAGCCCCUUCACUGAAUUUUCAGUUUUUAAACUUAAAAGAAUGCAUAGCAUCACAAGCAUAGUUGGUUUCCUAUAAUUCUUGCAAUUGCGAAUGCAAUUCAUCCAUUCUUAGGAAAGGAAUGACUGAAUUUCAUGUACCUGGCCACUAAGCAUUUCAUACAAGAGGAUUCCAACACUCCACCAAUCAGCAUCUUUGUUAUGGCCUCUAGAAAGCAAGAUUUCUGGAGCCAUGUAUUCAGUUGUUCCACACAACGAAUUCGACCGACUUGAUUCAUCAAUCUCCUUGGCCAGUCCAAAAUCAGUAAGCACUACCUGUAUAGAUAUUAAAGAUUCAGGAAUAAAGGAAGAAAACUCUUUUUAAUACGUGAUAGGAAGAAAGCCACUACAAGAUAUUAGCUUGACAUUACAUGUCCAUCAGCAUCCAUGAGAAUGUUCUCAGGCUUGAGAUCACGGUGCACAAUGCCACAAUUGUGAAGAUGCGAAACAGCCGAUACGAUCUCAGCUGCAUAGACUCUUGCCUGAUCCUCACUAAUUAAAAAUAAUCCAUGAUCCAGAUCAAAUGGAGUUCCUAUAAUAUCAUGAUUAGUACGAGAACACAAACUUUUUAACUAAGGUGGGAGGGGUACCUGAAGAUCCCCUGCCUGUACAGAUGGUAAAAGAGAUGUCCCCCAUUUAUGAAAUCAAGAAUCAAAUAAAGUUUUGAUUUGGUCUACAAAUAGAAACACUUAGCCUAUCAAAACAUGACACAAGGAGAAACUACUUUGCAAAUUCAUACAUAAAGAUGCAUUCGUCUCAAAAUUCUCAUAACUUAGAAGUCUUCUGUCUCAUACAAGCAAUCAAAAGAUCAGAAAGAGGAGAAAAUUUUAGUACCUGGAAAGAGUAGCGAAGCUGAACAAUGAAAGGAUGAGCAACUUUUGUGAGAAUAUCUCUCUCAGCCUUCAUAUAGUCCACAUGAUUCUUCUUUAUAAUAGUAUCCUUUCUCAUGACUUUCAUAGCAUAAAUCUCAUCAUUAUCAGAACCGUUUCCUUUACAAUUCCCUUUCUUCCUCACCAAAAAGACCUUACCAAACGCCCCUUUUCCCACAACUCGAAGAAUAUCAAAAUCCCCAACUCCAAUCUUCCCCUGUACAUUUUCUCCACUACAAUUUUCAGUUUCACCAACCCUUUUCUCCUCCUCUUGAGCUCCAUCACGAGUCGAGAUUUCUAGGUCAUUUUCUUCUUCUUCCUCCUCCUCCCCUUCGCUCUGUGAAUCGACUUCUCGGAAAAAAGGAAGAGAAGCUGGAGGAGUUAACCGGGGAGAAGGACCCACAAAUGAAUGAGAUCUAUUGUGAAUAACCACUGGUUGUUGCUGUUCAUGGUGUUGUGGGUCCCCGUGAAAAGAUGACGGGGACGGAUUAGUAGGGCCAAAGACAUCGUUGAAAUCAAAGUCGUGAACGGCGGCGGCUGAUGCAGAAGGAGAAGAAGAAGAAGAAGAUGAAGGAAUCGUUAGCUUCGUGAGAUUGGCUACAAGAAGAGAGUGCAUGUUCUUCUGAAUCGAUGCGGACACCAUUGUUGAUUCGAGAAUCAAAUCGAAGAAGGAAACCGUUGAAAUUUAGAAUAAGAUUGACAACUAAAUAAUCAAAGCCAGCCGUGAAUUUCUUCUGGGCGGGCCGAGAGCGUAAGAAUCACAUCGUAAAAAAGGGCAAGAAAUCGAGAUUGAAAGUGAAUGAGAUCAAAUGGGGUGGAGGAAAACGAGGAGAAAAGAAGAAUUUCGAAAAGAGAAAAGAUUAAGAAAUCGAAAAAGAGAUUGGAAUUGGGGAAGAGAAUUCGAAGGUGGGAUCGGAGAGAAAUAGAAGAAGAAGAGCGGAAGGGAAUUGAAAGUGAAGAGGAAGAGAGGGAAAUUGAAGAUUUAUUGACCAAUUAAAAAAUAGGAAAUUGAAGAAUUGAGGUUGAAAAUUUUGAGAAAUUUAUAUCCAAAAUUCCCUCUAAAUUUUCUCUCUGAUUUUCUCGGUAAACAAACACUAAUUACUUUCUAGUUUUGGGGAUUUUCAAAUAUUAAUCAAAUAAAAAACUAUUUAGAAAAAAAAAAAAGAAGAAGAAGAAGAAGAAGAAAAUUGAAGUUUGCAUGAAAUAGUCACGUGCAAGGCAAGAAGUUGGAAUCGUGUGGACGAAAAUUAUGAUAGAAUAUGAAGUUAAUGGGAAACGACGGAAUGAGAAAGGGACAAAUAGUGAAUUGUUGUGGCGGCUCGUUUUAGUAGUGGAAUUCAAUUUAUAAAUUGCACUUUUCUUUUUCUUUUUCUUUUUUACUUUUAAUUUGCUUUGGUUAACAAUUUCUUGAAUGUUUUAAAUGGUUUAUAAUUAAUUAUAAUCUUCAUAAGAUUUUUUUUUAAAAUUUCUAUAUUAAAUGUUGCUAAUAAGAUUAUGAACUAAUUAAAGUAUCUGAACUAACUAAAUAAACAAUACAAUUUACCUAAAAAGAUAUUUUAAGUUGACCAAAUGGUUGCUUCUUAAGUUCUAUAUUGUAUUAUGUAACUAUAGAAAAAUUACGGGUUUUUACAAAAAAAAUAUCUGUAAAAUAAUUACAAUUUUGAAAGUGAAAAAUGCCUCGAAUUAACGGGUGCAAUAUAUUUGGUACACAUUAUUGAACUAUUUUGUUUAGAUUUAUUAAAAUCUAAACAAAUUUUUUUAUCUUCGAACCAAAACCAAUCAAAUAAACAUGACAAGAAGAAAGAGAGAAAAUGACAAACUCAAAUAUUUUUAAUAUGCACAUAAAUUGGUCAACAAAUCUAUAUUACUUUUUAAAUAGAUAGGAAAAGAAUCAAUGAAUAAAAUGGAAAUUAUAAAAUUCUAAUAUUGCAAAUCAAAUUGAAUUCAUUUACACGAAAAAAAAGCGAUAAAAAUAAUUAAACACUAAAAAGAUAAAAAGAUAAAAGAACUUCCAUAAAUAUUUAGCGCUUAGGGUAUAUUAUACCUUUAUUCUAAAAUAAAAAGUUCGUAAUUUAUUAUUAUUAGGAUAGAUAGGAACAAAUAUAUAUAAAGGCAAUGAAUUAUCUCAAGAAAGAAAGAAAGAAAGAAAAAAGAGAAUGAAAUUCAAAUAGCCUACACGCUGCGGUAUCCUUUACCACCCAACGCAAAGCUUCAUCAGAGACACUCAGUAGGAAGUUUCUGCUUCCCCUUUUUCUAUUUUGCCACCAUCUUAUAUAUAUAUAUAUGUCUGUGUGUGUGCACACGUUAUUGUAAUUCUUAUUGGCUCAACAUUGAGCUGUAAUGCGUUAAAUAAAAAACAAAUUAUAAAUAAAAUCUUAAAAUAAAAGAGAGGAAAUGAUUCUAUAUGACAAAAAUGUAUAACAAAUUUCUGAUUUUGUUGAUAUAAUCAGAAAGUUUGCCCUAUUUUGCAGAUAUUUUGAUUUAUUAUCUUAUAUUUAAAAGGUAGGUUGUAGAUUCUGUUGUCUUAAAUAUCUUAUUUAGUUCAAAUUAAUGGCUGAUUUUGAAAUGGUACCUAAAAUAUGACUUCAAAUUACUAGCAAAACGAUGGUUAUAUAUAUAAAUACAUACAGAUAUCAUACAUAUCUUGAUCAUUCAAAAUCAAUAUAAAGGAUUUAAAACACAAUAUUAAUUACUAAAGAAAGAGAGUGUUCCUUUAAAGAGUUCAAAACAGUUUAAAUUAACAGCAAGUCUGGAAAGGUUAAUUUCUCAUAGUUUAUUGUUAGGUAUGGGAGAGACCAAGUCAAAAAGAGGAGUAAAGAAUGUGCCCUGUGAAGUGAACAAAAACACACAAAUUAAACGACUUUUCAAGUUAUAUUGAAACGAUGCAAAGGUACAUACAAUUAAGAGAAUAUAGAGUGUACUAACAGGGCAGGACGUUGCCAUAUUUGUAGAACCAAAGUUUCCUUUUCCUUUCAUUGUAAUAAAUUACAACUGUAUCAAAGCACAUUACACCCCCCAAAAAAAUGACAUCCAAAAAGACAGCAUUGAAAGAAAGAAAAAAAAGAAAAGAGAAAAACCACUCCACCAUCCCAUAGCUCAUCAUCAAUUAAAACAUAUUGAUCACCACCAGUUUCUCAUUACACCCCACCCCCCAUUUAAAGAAGAUAUAAAAAAUGAACAUUCUCCUUAAAAAUUGGAGAUUGGUAAUUGAUACACCAAAUGAAAAUGAAGAAAAAAGGAGGAGGAGGAGGAGGAGGAGGAGGAGGAGAAGGAGAAAAGAAUAAAACCAACCGGCAUUACACCUCAAAGGCAACUACUAUAUGGCAGAAACAACGACGAAGCCCUUGCAAAAUGGCCUCCUCAUUGUUAAAACCCUCCCCCAUUUUUUCCUCACUAUGAUACAGCCAACAGAUUAAGUUCAAGCGGCCUCAAAGCUCCUUGAACCAUCUCUUGAACGUUUCUAUUUCGUCGGCAUACGUCUGAGAGUUCUUCUAUUGGUACAGCAAGCGCAUUUAUAUCGCAUCCUGAGGCUGCAUCUGAUAUCGCUUUUAGGAAUCUCGACCGCUCUUUUUCCGUAACAGCGGUUGAGGGAAUCAAUGAGACACUUUCCUUGGCCCACUCUAAUGCUUGUACUCUAUAAGCUCGAGUUAGGGCUAAUAGUGUGUACGUUACCUGAGAAAGUGGGAUGGAAUCAUCAUAUGCUUGUUAGCAGACAAUGGAGAGUGGCAAAUUAAACCGUGAUGAUAUUGAUAGUUUUGCAAAUUUAACAUGUAAGCAACUAUAUUAUCCACAUGAAAAUAAGAAUACCGGCUCUAAUCGAGAACUUGGCAGUGCCCCCGUUAAGGCUGCAACCAAAAUUCGAAGGAUAACAUGACCUCGAGGUAUCACAAUUGCAUCCCUUCUAGAUAUGUACUGUUCACUUUUGCUUGAAUUUGCAAGAUCAAAAACAUCAGCCAAGAAAGUCAAUAUUGAAUUUGAGGCUUCCCUGUAUAGAAUAAGAAAACGGUCAAUUGGUAUGUAUCGCAACUAUAGAAAUGUAUUCAGAAUAAUGUAAAUAAACAUAUAAACAUUACAGUUGAUUAACAUAGUUUUAGAUAAAAGACUUGAAAAUGAGGAUCUUCAUGAGAACAAGAGCUGGAAGAUAAGUAUAUAAUACCUAUGCUGUACUGUGAUUCCGACCAUUGCACAAUCGAUUAGUGCUGGAAAUACCGAAGAGGGAAUAAAUAAUUGAGGGCAAUAGCGUAUACAUCUCGAAGCCAAAAGAAAGCAAUCAUCGGCAAUAUCUGGUCUAGCAGUAAAUUCCUUCCAAACAAAAGCAAGGACAACCAAUUAGUAAUUUAAAUACCACUAUAAUUGAGGAAGAUAAAAUCGAUAAACUACCUGCAGCCUACCUGAAUAGUUGUGAGAAGACGAGUCGUAUGCAUGAAUAAUGCUUCAAUCAAACUUUGGAGAUAACUUGCGCAAGACGGAUCAGAACCAAAAAUCUGCAAGCAAGAUCAGCAGUUUAACUGUUAGCGUAACACAAUAAUCGAAAUUUCAUAGCGAAGUGAGAUGUAUGGGCCCGAACCUUUAUAACUUCACUAGACAAAUAGAGAAAGCAAGGCUGAUGGUGUUGCUUAUACAGAGCUUGAAUUUCUUCCAACAUCGCUCCAAUUGUGAUUCCCAUAAAUCUACCGGAAGUUCUCACCUACGGAAAGUAAACUAGUAAUUAAUCAACAGAAUAAAUUGUUUCUUUGCACAAAAUAUAGCACUAUUAUCACAAAUAUUUCCCCUCAAUAAGUGCCUCAAAAUACGACAUUGAUAUACAUUUAAAAUCUAGACAUGAAUCAAAGUCGUUUACAUAGGAUGAAGAGAUAUAUAUAAGAACAUACAAUUUGAUCUAUUUCAUUAUUUCAUCAGGAGACAGCUAUCUUACAGCCAUACUCCAGUAUGAAUCAUCAAACUGAACACUUAUUCAUGACAAAUAUUAUCAGAAUUAUACUCGAGGAGUCCAAGUCAAGCGAAUACAAUCCCAGUCAGAUCAAGUUAUUCAUUUAUGGUUUCUUAAUUUUCCAGCCGAGUUUUUGAACCACAAAUGAUUAUAAUAGUGAAUCACCAAAAAAGAGGAUCAGCAAACCUACAGCAUAUUUGCAUGCACGACAAAGAGAUUCCAUCGUCCGCAUGUCCCAAGCACGGCUAGAACCAAAGCAUUAAACAUAACCAGUCAAUAAAUUUUCCAUAGAACAUAAUACCCAGAUAAUGCAAUUAAAAGAUACUUACAUAUCGAAGAUGGCUUUAAAAAUUGGCCAAAGCCUCUGUAUUGCAUCUGCAACAGCUUCAGGGUGAUUUACAUAUCUAAAGUUGAUUCCAUUAAUAGAUUUAGAAUAUAUCGUGAGAAUUAGAAGAAACGGUGAGAAAGGUCAAACAUUUAUCACACCUGAAUAUAUAGGCAAACCGAUCAAUAUGGACUGUUAACUCAUUAGAAGGCUUCUUAUUUAACACUUCCGGGCCUUGAUUGACAAUUUCCUGAUAAUAUACACGAAGUUGUUAUAAUUUGUCACAAGGAUGAAAGAAUAGUUUGAAAGGGAAAAAGAGCCAACCUGCAGAGGAGCAACAACAGGUACGCACAAUGCCUCCAGAGCUCUUUUAGCUUGAUCGGGCACAAGUUCUGUGAUAACCAUGCUGCAAAGAGAGACAGAUGGAGAAGUCAACCUUUAUCCAAACAUAAAAUUAUGUUCAAGCGACCAUUUUCAAUACAUUAUCCAAACAUGUACCUUAAUGCUUCGACUAGGUGCAGCGAGUCCUCAGCAGUCACCUUCAAACUACUUUCUCCAUUGACCGUCAUAUUAUAUAUAUGGAAGAGACCAUCCAAAAAUCCACAAAGCUUUCUCCGGCAAUCUACUUGUAAUAUAAAUGAAUUAAUAAAGUGGAAUAAUGAUACCAAAGCACAAGAUAAUAAAAGUUCGGGCUCUAUCUUUUAUUUUGGGGCUAUGUUGAAGGUAUUCAUCAAAGCGAAACAAACAAGAAACCAAGGAGAGUUUGUCACCCAAUAACCAUUCAUUGGAUGGCAAAAAGGUAACCUUCAAACUCUACCAGUGAAUCUAAGGAUAUGGGAGUAGCAACCACAUAAAAUAAUACUUCUAAAACCACAGCAUGUCGACGCUUGCUAAAAAUGUGAUCUCAAAAUUCACAAUCUAACUGUGCUCUUCUUGAAGAAAGUACAGCAGACUAAAUUACGAGUUAUCUUGACAGCCACCAGUAAAUAUGCUGGUUUUACUAACAUUACUGAAAUGAAACAUAAAUAAUCUAAGUCUACCUGAUCCAGAAAAAUACAGAACUAAAUGAAAGCAAUUUUAAGGAGAUUCUGUACCAGCGCAAAUAUGUCUAAAUGCCAGAGCUGCUGCAGCUGCAGAAUCCUCGGAUGUGCUCAUUCCACUCAUGAGGAUAUCAAUUACUGAAGGUAGUAUCGAUUGCCCACUUGAUGACGCAUCAAGCCACUUCGAGUAUGCUCCAACAGUGUAGCACACUGAAGAUCCAACAAGACACAAAUAUUUAUCUAGAUAAACCAAGUUUGACACAGGACGUCUACUUAUAAAAACAUAUCUACCACGAAAUUGCAAAGCAGUCGAUAUAUCAAUAUGUGUUAGUAGAACUUGAUCAUGAAAAAGAAGUCAAAAAAAGUGUGUGGAUGAUCAUCUAUUAAAUCCACACCUCCAUUUGAAACACGAAUAUUGUAAUAGCAUUACAUCAUAAGUAACAUGUUCCAUCUUUGUUACCUGUCUGAAGAAGUUGUGCUUGCUUGGGAAGUUUUGGAAGUAAACCCAUGACCUGAGAGAAGAAUGGAAAAGACAAGUGCAAUUCGAGAAUUAGAGACAACAGAAGAAAAGAAUAAAAUAUAAGAGAAUAGGCAGAUGUAGAACAUGCGAGAAACAAGAAUUAAACAAGGAACAACUUUCUAGAAAGGGAGAUCACAUUCUCCAAAUAGGCAAGAAUGAGGUGGUCAUUUCCAUUUCUUUCAUGAAACUCAGUUUCUCUUCAAAAGAAAAAAGAAGAAAGAAAAGAAUUGUGUGGGCUUGUUUAACUAAUUGGAGGACAAACAACAGAGAUUUGAAAAUUUUCAUUCUUAGAAAAAUUGUCAAUCAUUAGAGACAGAACAAACUUGGAAGAUACUUUUACCUGUGGCAUUAUUUCAGUCUCACCCACUGAAACAUAAUCAGAUAUAGCUCGGAUGCAAAACAAAGCAGCCUCUGCUGGACGCCAUUCACUCUGUUCACUGUUUCCACAGCUUGUGACAGCCUACAGUGAUAUUUGAAAAUGAAUCAACCAAAUGCAAUAAAUCAAAGGCUUUAAAUCAUGGUUGCAACACGUGAUCCACUAUGACAGGCAGUAGAAACAAAAUUAAUUGAUGUACGGUUAUUGUAGGAAAACUAAUAUACAACCAUUUGGAAAUGAAACUCAUAAGAUAUCAAGUCCUAGGUAGAUGUUUCACCCUAACUUAAACCUAUUUUCUCAACAUUUUUAUUUAAAUAUGGUCUUUAUUUACCACUAAUCCAACCCAACCCACGGUUGGUUUGCAAAUUCUUUUCUUCUUAAAACUUAAUUUCAGUUAGAAUAUAUACAACUACAAAAUGCAGCCCGGGAAAAUUUUUUGAGUCAUACGUAAAUGAACAAGUAACUCGAAGAAAAAGGAUUGCUGUCCAGGAAAAAGAUCCAGGGAAUUCUUUUAUAUGUUGUGUGAGUAAUUUAUUAAGAUGCGGAACAACCAAGGAGAAGCAAGAAAUACACACCUCCACAAGCCUCACGUAAAGAAUUUUCAGAGUCAUAUCACCUCCUAAAACCAAAGCUGCAUCUAUUAAGACAUCUGCAACAGCUGGAUAUAAAACAAAUAUUUAUUUGUUCAGUAACCACUUUACAGAAUUAUACAUGGAAAAUGACUAAAUGAGCACUGGGAAAACUGAAUUGUCUAGCAUUCUACAUUAAAUAAGGGAUCUAUAAAGCUAUAUAAAAAAGAUUUCCCGGUAGGCUGGAACAAUUGUUGCACAACUUAUAAUAUCUGCAAAAAGAACUACACCUUAACAACAGAAACCGUAUCACAAAGCAACUAGUAAAAUUUGAUUGAUCAUAUUCAACAAACUAAGCAAGUUACUACCAUAUCUAGUCUGCUUGAAUUCCUUGAGGUCCUCAUAAGAAAGGUCUUGAUAGUCAUUAGGAUAUUGAACUCUGAAACUAACCUGUGAACACAAUUUUACUGGAAAAUUAAGGCCAAAAUUCAUGUAUGCAGAUUUACGUAAUUCCGUUAAUAAAUCCAGCAUGCAUAUACAUCUGUAAAUCCUAGAUUUCUAGCUAACAAUAAAUAUUGUAGAAAAAAAAGUAGAUACAAGCAGCAAUUUUUCAUGGCAAAAUAUUUGAGUAAUAUCAAUCGAUUAUGAGCAAAUGAGGCCCUAUGGUAGACUACAAUGAAGGGAAUGAUAUUGCAUCGGGAUAAGUACUAAGACUAACCAUAUUUCAGUCAAAAAUCUAGGAAGUGGAAUAUGUUCUAAAAAAAGAGGGGAGAGGGAAAAAAGUUUAGGAGGUGGAGAACUUACCAAGGAUACAAGUGACUCAUAAACUGGACAAAAGAUUUGUAACCUCCUUUUCCUCUCAGCUUCAAUGGAAGCAUCAUUGCCAAAAGAAAUAUAAGCAUCUCUGGAAUAUUAGAACUAAUGUAAGUAAAAUUAGCUUUUAACAAAAUACUGUCGAUAUGUUUGUGGUGUAAAAGAAUCAUAGUUGAUACUAAAGGGCUCAGAAUAAAUAACCUUUUUGUCAAGUUCAACUGCAGGCUGUGCCAAAAAUUAAAGGUCAUGGAGGCAAUAUCAUAUUCAGGGUGUGAAGUAACUUCAAGUAGAGCAUGGACGAUUAACAUCGAUUCAUCAGAACCUAGAAAGUAGACCAAAAACCAAGGGAAAAAACAAAUUGAGAAAACAAUAUCAUGAAGACAAGAAUGUGCCUCAAGUACGUAACAAAAUCUAUUACCAGUAGCAAUCAAUUCAACAUAUGAAUCGCCCAUGUCAGCAAAUAACCGAGCAAUGGCCUUCACAUCUUCUUCAUCCUGAAUGCAGAAAUUAAAACAAGGUUAAUUAACAGUAGAAAUGAAUAAACUUCAGCAAUCACUAGGUAUAUAAAAAAAAUUCCAUUUACAGCCAACAACUUUGCGUAAAAGAAAACAAACUAAAUUGAAAACCCACGGGCAUUACUUUUUCAUUGAAUUUUCCACAAGUAGAUCCCCGCAUACCCCCCCCCAAUGAGAAGAAAUGCGGAAGGAUUACCAUGUUAGACAUCAAAAUAAAGAAAUGGAGAAGGAAUGAGGAAAGCGUUAUCAACAGAAAAUGAAGAUAUCAUGAUACUGCAAGAAAGUGCAACACUAACCAACAAUGAGGAAGAGAUGACAUACAAAACUUUCUUUCGUUUGCAGGGGUGUGUUGUUUUGUGGGUUUUGUGGGAUGAGCAGAAAGGUAGUUCUCUAGAGAUGUGGAGAGGGAUCCUAAUGAGAUUUGGUCUCUCAUUCCAUUCCCUGGUUCUUUGUGAGCUUCAAUUUCAAAGGCUUUUUGUACCUAUUCUAAGAUGUUAGAGUCCUUUUUUUAUAGAGGGUGCUUCAUCCUUGGAUUUGGUUUUUGCAUGCCCUCAUGUUCUCACUUUUUUUCUCAAUGAAAGUUGUUGGUUUCAUUUAAAAAAUACAUAUAAAAAAAAGGUCUCAACAAUCAAUCUAGCUUUCCUAAACCAGAAAACUGAGCACUCUGUCACAUAAAACUAGAGAAAUGAAAGAUGGAGAAUCUGAUGUAGCAAUACCUUUGAAGAAUCUCUAAGUUGUGCCUUCAAAUUCAUAACUUGAGGGACAAUUACUUGAAUUAAAGGCAUAUGCACUGGGAGACCACUUGAGCUUCCAGCUGCUGAAUAGUGUAUCAGUUCAGAUAUAACUGCACAAAAAAAGCCAAAGAAAAGUUUGUAAUAAUUUUCAAAUAACCAAAGAGAAAUUAGUAAUAAUACAUGCAAAAAUCUUAAAGGUAACCUGAAAUCCAAAAGAAUGAACAUGUAGAACAUAAGUUGCAUAAGCAAAGGGUCAAAAUUAAUUAUAUAAACAUAAAUAAAUAUCAAAACACUAGUGAACACAAGGGAAACGUGCUAUUAGUAGAUAAGUCUAGUUGACUGCAAACGAUGUACACUUCUUUUACAUGGAUGUUACUCAUUCAAUUAAUUUUUUAGAAAUGCAAUAAAAGAUAUGAAAGAAUGAUAGCAUUCCUUACACCAAGCUUGCUAAUUAUUUAUCUUUUAUAAGAUCACAUGCAUAUCUCAAUCUAAAAAUGUGAUGGAAGGAGUAUGGGACCGCAAACAUUAUAAUCGGCUACUUGAUGUUCACAACAGAAUUAGUUCAGGCAAUAGAAAAGCAGAUUCAUAUGUUGGAAUGUAGCUUUAAGUUUACUACAACGAGAAACUAAAAGCUUGGGACACGUUCAAAAGCAAUACCGUUUACAGACGCCUCAGAUAGAAGCUCAGAAUUUAAACUCGCUAGAGCUGUAAGUACUAAAGGAUGUGAUGCAAGCAUAGUUCCUGGAAUCCUGAAACCAGAAGCAGUUGCACUAAGCCAUUAAAUUGUAAUGCUCAACUUCCUUUCCUGACUAAAACCAAAUAAGCAGAUUCUGAAAUCUGAAAAACAAUAAUAACAAAUGGAAACUUCAAUCUUUAAUUUCUUAUUGGAACAAACAAGUUUUAGAAGAAAAUUGCUGAUACAAAGCGAUGGGAAAAGGGACAAGGCACCUCAAAAACCAAGGCCAAAUAAGUUAAGAAUGUGUUCCAAAGGCAAAGGACGUGCAUCAUGAGAGUAACGUAGUUAUAAAAGAGCUUAAUAAGAUCCAAUUUGAAGCAACAAACUAAAUACUAAAUGCAACUUACAGAUAAACUAUCGGCCAUUCAAAAGUAUUCAUAAUGUAUUGUCUACCUUUUAGGCCAAAGAUAAAAGCAAAGGGUUAGCACCAUGUGCUGGAAACCCAAUAACAUAAUCAGAAGCACAAGGGAUUCUCUCAAGUUUACAUGUUAGAAUCCAAUGCAUAUAGGACAAUAGAACAAAUCAACAUGCAUCCAACACAUCCUAGACAUCAUCCAUAGUACUCAAAAGAGAGAGAAAGAGAGAGAGAAGAAAAGCUGAGUUCGUAAUAGAGAAAAUAAUAUUAAAAGAAAUGAGGAACAGAGAACUAGGAUGAUCAUCUCUAACUCAUGAAGCUAAGAAAAUUACCAGACAUCUUUUUUACAGCCAUAAUUUGUUAUUAUUACUAUCAUUAUUUUUUUUUUGGUAGGACUCUUUUAUAGCCAUAAUAAACAAAGGAAACAUUACGAAAAAUAUGCACCAAAAGACAACCAUGGAAACUAAAAACUUCACAUGAUCCCAAACAUCCCCCAGUCUUCACUCCUUCCAAGUUUUCCCUGAAAUAGCUAAAGUUCAUAGUACUUCAACUUCACUCAAUCCAAAUAAACCACAAAUUGCUUCAACUGCAUUAGUCUAGAGAAUUUUUUAGUUCAACAAUUAUUGGGGUGGGAGAUCAAACCAUGUCAACCUUCGGAAUAGUAAUUGGUGUCUUACCAUUGAUCUAUGCUCGCAUUAACUACAUUAGUCCGAAGCAUUGAGGAUCACGAAUAGGGCAAUAAAGAGAGAUUGUAUAAUUUUAAAUAACAAAGGAAAAGAAAACACAUUAAUUUUCUUUGGAUACCAGCAUCUCCGAACAGCUCAAGAUCCUGUGUAGAAUAUAAGGCACGCUAAAGAGAAGACUAAAAACAGAUUUCCAGGGGAAGGUAAAUAUCAGAGCUAGCAUGGAGCCAAAAUCUUCUAUUCUAGUGGCCAUGAGAUAAACACCCUCGAAUAAAUUCAUGACGUACAACCAAUCUUCCCAUUCUGAUCAGACAAGUUCCUCCAAGUGUGCCAACGCACCAAAGGUAAUUAAUAUCCCAGCAGUUUCAACCAAAGCUUCUUUGGAGCUUCAAAGAUUUGAGUAUUUCAGGGAUAAUUGAGUGUCUAGUGCCCAAAAGCAGCCAAUAAAUUAACUCUAUUGCUUGAACCUACUCUAACAGUGAUGUUUCCUUUUGUAAAAUCAGUAAGCCUCAUUAUUCGUUUCCAGCAGCCUUUAGGUUGCUACUUCUAAAUUUGUUCUAGAGAACCAAUCACUGGCUGGUUUACCAUGAGACCACUGUACUUCAUGCUGCAAAGAAUUCCCUUCAAAUGUGAAACUAGUACAACGAAUUUCCUUCCAAUCUCCAAUAACCACUUGAGGAAUGGAGCUUUGCUUCUUCUAUAUAUGUUCCCAAGCCCACACCACUACAUUCAAUUCAGCUACUUACUCCCAGUUACCUAUUCAUUCUGUUUCAAAAUAAAACUACAUUAUUCUAGAUUAUUUUGUGGAUAAUUUAAUUAUUUAUCUUUUUCAUGAACUUCAUACAGCUAUGUAACCAAUAUUCAAGUAAGAAACGAGAUCCCUCAACCCACUCCAUGUACAAUAUCCCAGAAUGAAAGUGGUUCAGUAUUCUCUAUGAUACAAGAAACUGAUCUAGAUAUACCCACAUCUACUUCAAAUUUUUAUACCCACGUGUACAUCAGUAUCAUAUACACAUUUAAAAACUGAAGUUCAUUUCUUUAUCUUUUGAGCUAUCUAAUAUAUUGUGUAGAAAGUGACGUGAAGAACAGGCAUACCCAUGCUU
Molecule: long non-coding RNA, 66629 nt
Filed under: Cucumis sativus (cucumber)
Lineage: Eukaryota; Viridiplantae; Streptophyta; Magnoliopsida; Cucurbitales; Cucurbitaceae
Description: long non-coding RNA (CSAT_LNC000033)
Source: RNAcentral